GUUUUUUUUUUUGCCUGUUUUAGGGUUUCGAAGAAAAGGAAUAUCAAACGGAGUCCAAACGAAAUGAAACCUUCGAGAAUGUGAUUUUCUGAAUGAACAAGAUCCAGGAGACUUGGACCCUACAUCAAGACACAAAAGAGGAGGCCACGAGGUAGGGGGCGCGCCUACCCCCCAGGCGCGCCCUCCACCCUCGUGGGCCCCCUGUUGCUCCACCGACGUACUCCUUCCUCCUAUAUAUACCUAUGUACCCCCAAACGAUCAGAUACGGAGCCAAAACCCUAAUUCCACCGCCGCAACUUUCUAUAUCCAUGAGAUCCCAUCUUGGGGAUUGUUUUGGAGCUCCGCCGGAGGGGGUAUCCAUCAUGGAGGGCUUCUACAUCAACACCAUAGCCCCUCCGAUGAAGUGUGAGUAGUUUACCUCAGACCUACGGGUCCAUAGUUAGUAGCUAGAUGGCUUCUUCUCUCUUUUUGAAUCUCAAUACAAUGUUCUCCCCCUCUCUUGUGGAGAUCUAUUCGAUGUAAUCUUCUUUUUGCGGUGUGUUUGUUGAGAUCGAUGAAUUGUGGGUUUAUGAUCAAGUCUAUCUAUGAACAAUAUUUGAAUCUUCUCUAAAUUCUUUUAUGUAUGAUUGGUUAUCUUUGCAAGUCUCUUCGAAUUAUCAGUUUGGUUUGGCCUACUAGAUUGAUCUUUCUUGCAAUGGGAGAAGUGCUUAGCUUUGGGUUCAAUCUUGCGGUGUCCUUUCCCAGUGACAGUAGGUGCAGCAAGGCACGUAUUGUAUUGUUGCCAUCGAGGAUAACAAGAUGGGGUUUUCAUCAUAUUGCAUGAGUGUAUCCCUCUACAUCAUGUCAUCUUGCUUAAGGCGUUACUCUGUUUUCAUUAACUUAAUACUCUAGAUGCAUGCUGGAUAGCGGUCGACGAGUGGAGUAAUAGUAGUAGAUGCAGGCAGGAGUCAUUCUACUUGUCUUGGACGUGAUGCAUGUUGCUAACUCUUGAGCAGUGCGUUGGUUUUCCCCGAAGAGGAAGGGAUGAUGCAGCAAAGUAGCGUAAGUAUUUCCCUCGGUUUUUGAGAGCCAAGGCAUCAAUCCACUAGGAGGCUAUGCGUGAGUCUCUCGUACCUGCACAAAACAAAUAAAUCCUUGCAACCAAUGCAAAUAGGGGUUGUCAAUCCCUAUGAGGCCACUUACGAGAGUGAGAUCUGAUAGAUAUGAUAAAGAUAAUAUUUUUGGUAUUUUUAUGAUAAAGAUGCAAAGUAAAAUAAAGGCAAAGUAAAUAGCAAAGUAGUACGAGAACAAUAUGAUAAAGAUAGACCCGGGGGGCAUAGGUUUCACUAGUGGCUUCUCCCAUGCAUCUAGAGCAAUUGACAGAAUAACGCCCGGGGGGUGAACAAAUUACUGUUGAGCAAUUGACAGAAUUGAGCAUAGUUAUGAGAAUAUCUAGGCAUGAUCAUGUAUAUAGGCAUCACGUCCGAGACAAGUAGACUGACUCCUGCCUGGAUCUACUACUAUUACUCCACUCAUUGACCGCUAUCCAGCAUGCAUCUAGAGUAUUAAGUUAAAAACAGAGUAACGCCUUAAGCAAGAUGACAUGAUGUAUUGGGAUAGACUCAUGCAAUAUGAAGAAAACCCCAUCUUGUUAUCCUCGAUGGCAACAAUACAAUACGUGCCUUGCUGCCCUUACUGUCACCGGGAAAGGACACCGCAAGAUUGAACCCAAAGCUAAGCACUUCUCCCAUUGCAAGAAAGACCAAUCUAGUAGGCCAAACCAAACUGAUAAUUCAAAGAGACUUGCAAAGAUAACCAAUCAUACAUAAAAGAAUUCGGAGAAGAUUCAAAUAUUGUUCAUAGAUAGUCUUGAUCAUAAACCCACAAUUCAUCGUUCUCAACAAACACACCGCAAAUAGAAGAUUACAUCGAAUAGAUCUCCACAAGAGAGGGGGAGAACAUUGUAUUGAGAUCCAAAAAGAGAGAAGAAGCCAUCUAGCUACUAACUAUGGACCCGUAGGUCUGAGGUAAAAUACUCAUACUUCAUCGGAGGGGGCUAUGGUGUUGAUGUAGAAGCCCUCCGUGAUCGAUGCCCCCUCUGGCGGAGCUCCGGAACAGGCCCCAAGAUGGGAUCUCGUGGAUACAGGAAGUUACGGCGGUGGAAUUAGGGUUUUGGCUCCUGCUCUGAUCGUUUGGGGGUACGUGGAUAUAUAUAGGAGGAAGAAGUAUGUCGGUGGAGCAACAGGGGGCCCAUGAGGGUGGGGGCGCGCCUGGUAGGGUAGGGGGCGCCCCCUACCUCGUGGCCUCCUGUUACAUGCCUUGGCGUAGGGUCCAAGUCUCCCGGGUCUUAUCUGUUGAGAAAAUCACGUUCCCGAAGGUUUCAUUCCAUUUGGACUCCGUUUGAUAUUCCUUUCUUCGAAACCCUAAAACAGGCAAAAAAUAGCAAUUCUGGAUUGGGCCUCCGGUUAAUAGGUUAGUCCCAAAAAUAAUAUAAAAGUGGAUAAUAAAGCCCAAUAAUGUCUAAAACAGUAGAUAUAGCAUGGAGCAAUCAAAAAUUAUAGAUACGUUGGAGACGUAUCACGUGUAUACAUGAUCAUACCUAGAUAUUCUCAUAACUAUGCUCAAUUCUUUCAAUUGCUCAACAGUAAUUUGUUCACCCACCGUAGAAUACUUAUGCUCUCGAGAGAAGCCACUAGUGAAACCUCUGGACCCCCUGUCUAUCUUCAUCAUAUUAAUCUACCAAUACUUAGUUAUUUCCUUUUGCUUUUACUUUGCUUUUAUUUUACUUUGCAUCUUUAUCAUAAAAACACCAAAAAUAUUAUCUUAUCAUAUCUAUCAAGAUCUCACUCUCGUAAGUGGCCGUGUAGGGAUUGACAAACCCUUACCACGUUGGUUGCGAGGAUUUAUUUGUUUUGUGCAGGUACGAGGGACUCGCGCGUACCCUCCUACUGGAUUGAUACCUUGGUUCUCAAAAACUGAGGGAAAUACUUACGCUACUUUGCUGCAUCAUCCCUUCCUCUUCGGGGAAAACCAACGCAGUGCUCAAGAGGUAGCAACUCCUUCUUUAUAAAGAUGUGGGUCAUCCCAAAAGUAAUGUCUCAAAUCAUAGAAGAACUUUUUCUUUUGCUGGUAUGUGAAACUAGGUGGUAUAAGUUUAGCAACAAUAUAAUUAGCAUAAUCAGCAUACCAUGGAGGAGUUCGAGAAGCAUUUAUGACAUUUGAUUGUUCAUCAGGAAAGCUAUCAUCAAUAGUUAGUGGGUUAUCAAGAACAUUUUCUAACCUAGACAAGUUGUCUGCAAUGGGGUUCUCAGCUCCCUUUCUAUCAAUAAUAUGCAAAUCAAAUUCUUGUAGCAAGAGAACCCAUCUAAUAAGUCUAGGUUUAGCAUCUUUCUUUUCCAUAAGGUAUUUAAUAGCAGCAUGAUUAGUGUGAAUAGUUACUUUAGAAUCAACAAUAUAAGGUCUGAACUUAUCACAAGCAAAAACAACUGCUAAGAAUUCCUUUUCAGUGGUAGCAUAAUUUCUCUGGGAAUUGUCUAGAGUUUUACUAGCAUAUUGAAUAACAUUUAAUUUCUUAUCAACUCUUUGCCCUAGAACAGCACCUACAGCAUAAUCACUAGCAUCACACAUAAUUUCAAAGGGUAAAUUCCAAUCAGGUGGCUGAACAAUAGGUGCAGAAAUCAAUGCUUCCUUAAGUAUUUCAAAUGCUUCUACACAAUCAUCAUCAAAGACAAAAGGAAUAUCUUUUUGUAAUAGAUUAGUCAGAGGCCGAGAAAUUUUUGAGAAGUCCUUAAUGAACCUCCUAUAAAAACCGGCAUGACCGAGGAAGCUUCUUAUACCUUUAAUGUCCUUGGGACAUGGCAUCUUUUCAGUAGCAUCAACUUUAGCUUUAUCAACUUCAAUGCCUCUUUCAGAAAUUUUAUGCCCCAAGACAAUACCUUCAUUAACCAUAAAGUGGCAUUUCUCCCAAUUUAGAACAAGAUUAGUUUCUUCACAUCUCUGCAAAACUCGAUCAAGGUUUGCUUAAGCAAUCAUCAAAAGAGGAUCCAUAAACGGAGAAAUCGUCCAUGAAAACCUCACAUAUCUUUUCACAAAAGUCAGAGGAUAUAGCCAUCAUGCAUCUUUGGAAGGUAGCGGGUGCAUUACAUAAACCAAAUGUAACAUCCCAAUUUUCCUAAAUAAGGAUGUUAUUAGAUCAUUCAUAUGCAUAUCAUAUUUUUAUUGCAUUAUUUGUCUUUCUGCAAUAUUCGAAUCAUUAUGCAACUAAAGGCAAUUUAUUGGAGCGGAGAUAACAUGACUUCUCCCCUGUUUUAAAAGGUUCAUAAUGUGCAGAAUAUUAUUUCCAGUUCAUCUGAUGUGUUCUGGUAUUUUUAUUAAUCUCAAAAAUAUUUUAUUUGUGUGUUAUUUUACUGUUUGUGUGGUCUAUUGCAUAAAAAUUAUUUUCAAAACUGCAUUAGAGUGGAAACUAGUUGUUCCUGUAGUUUAUAUUAGGUGUAUAUAUUUUACUGUGUGUCUACGUAUUUUUUUUAUUUAGUUUUUAUCCUGUUGCUUUAUUUUUAGUUCUUUUUACUUCUGUUGUUUUGUAAAGAAAAAAGGAAAAACUCAGCGCGCAGCGCAGAGCACUACGCGGCCCAGCUAGCCACGCGGCCCAGCACUGCGGCCCACCUAACCCCGCACCUGACCCGCACCCAACCGCACCGCUACACCCGACCAGCAUCGCCCCUCGCCUCCCGUUGCUGACCAGCGGGGCCCACACCGCCCCACUCUUCUUCCCCGAGUCGGCCGCACGCGCAGCCGCACACACGCAUCCGAGCGCAAGCCUAAGUCGAACUCGAGCACCGGGCCACCCCGCGCACGCCCGAGAUGUCUAGGGCGAGCCCACGCCCUCGAGGAACCCCCGAACCCCUGCCUCGUUCUUCCUCGUUGUCGCACGCAUCGGUUAGGGUGAAACCGAUCUCACCCGGAGCUCCACCGUCUGCCGCCGUUCGCCGGGUGGUUGCACCACUGUAAUAGCCGACCGAGCUUCACCUCCUACACCCUUCGAUUUCCCUCUCAACGGCGCACCCGCUUGACAUCUCCUUGUUGCCGGACACGCAGCAUAGGGAGAGGAACGAGCUGACCCACCGCCACUGGAGCAUCCGUGGUUCACGUUGCCGCCGCCGCCUACUGAGGGAGCUUCGCCGCCGUCCGACACCACCACCGCCUCCGCCACUCACAGUCGCACCCGCCCGUACCAUCGUCUUCGCCGGAGACCCACUGGAGAGCCGCCACCGCCGACGCUCGAGCCGCCGCCGUCGUUUAACGAUGUUUUGGGUGAGCACACGUGCCUGGUCAAAUCGAAAAUCGCACGUGGCGCUCGCUACAGGAGUUCGCUACAGAGUUGCUACAGUUUAGAUGUUUUCUGUUGCUUUUUAUUUUAUCUUCAGAUUUCAACUCUAACUUCAACUAGCUAUAUCUUUUAUUCUAUAAAUCCAAUUUAGGUAAUUCUUUUUCCUAUGCACUCACAAAAAUCAGCACAUUAUCACAAUACCAAAAUCUCACAUGUUUGCACAAUUCAAAUUUGAAUUCGUUUGAAUUCAAAUUAAACCUUCCGGAGGCCGUAUCUUUCAAACCGCUUAUCGAAUUCGAGUGAUUCUUUUUGCCUUGUGAUCAUAGUGCAAUUUAGGUGUUGUUAUGCUGCUGUUGUUGAGUUUUAAAAAUGGUUUUCUUGCUGUUGGUUUUGUUUUUGGUUCUAUUCGUGUUCCGGUGAUUGAUUUGUUGUUUUGUGUGAAACGUGUAGAUUGUCCAGAGUGCGACGCAAGCUAUUGUCGGGAGUGUGACCUUUUGAACCAGAACCAAGGCAAGUUACAUGUUGAUCAUCCCUUACAGAUUGUUUUCUAUGCAUGUAUUUAUAUCACACUAUGAUGUAUAGGAUUAUUAUAUUAUUUUUCUAUAUUGUUGAGCUAUCUCCCGUCACUGCAGAUCGUGGUAGUUUUAGUUGCUAUGCUAUGUAGACGGGGAUUGGUUCGUGUAUUCAUUGAGCUUAUGUGAGGAUUAUAUAUAUAAUAAUUUGAGUAGUAACUCGGGAUUUAAUUCACCUCUGGGCAGAAUUGGUAUUGGUUGGGUGGUCUCAAGAACAUCAUGGUUUAUACCCUCUGAAUGUAAGUGGACGGCCGCCUAGGCUCAAAAAGAUGAGACAGACUUAGUGACUAGUAGCUUCCAUGUGCGACCACUGGCUAAAUGGGCUCUGGCUUAGUUGAUCAGUUGUGGAACCCUUACCUGGAUGUGCCAGCAGAUGUAGAUAUAAUAGUUGGGAUGGGCCUCUUGUUGGGACUUGGGGACUGCUUCUGAAAGACUUCCUCUCAAUCUUCGGGUUGGGUCCAGUGGGUAAAGCGUACUAAACUCUGCAGAGUAUUAAAAACUAAUCAUGAUUAGCCAUGUCCCCGGUUAUGGGAAACUUUGAGUGACUAUGCCAUUACAGUUGUUGGAUGAUCUUGACAAAUGCGACACUUAAUAAUAUUUGUGGGAAAACUUAAUAAAGGGUAGGUUGGAGUUGAUUUUGCCAACUCAACCUUGUGUAUUUACUUGUAGUAAUAAAGAACUAAAUUAAAAAUUUGACUAUUAGGUAGUUGUUAGGAUAAAAUUAGCUUUCUGCAAAAAGAAACCCUCAAGCCUUCCUUUGUUGUACUAUGCAUAUACAUGUAGGUCUGCUUUAUUAUUACUCCUAUGUAACUUGCCAAUACAUUCCAAGUAUUGACCUAUAUGGCUGUAACGUCUCAUGUUGCAGGAUAUUCUGACGAAGAGUAAGGUACUGUUAGGGUCGCGAGUCUGCACUCAGCAUCGCCAGUGGGCUAUGAUGGGAGUCAUCGUUAUUUUCUGCUACUUUCCGCCGUUUGAUUGAAUAAAGCUAGCCAAGUGCUAUGCAGAUUGUUUUAUUUUAUAUAUUCUGGAUCAUAUGAUGUAAUAAAUGAUGCUCUUGCUAUUCUGGUAUUCAUCUAUACUGUGUGUGCUAGCGAGUUCGAUCCAGGGACUAGCACGAUAAGCACAGAGACUCAAAUCCUUCGAGGUUUGGUCAUUACACCAAAAGGCAUACUUCUAUAAGAAAAAGUACCGAAAGGGCAAGUAAAAGUGGUCUUUGAUUGAUCAUCAGCUGACACAGGUAUUUGAGAGAAGCCAGAGUAACCAUCUAGAAAGCAAAAAUGUGUAUGAUUGGAUAAUCUUUCUAGCAUUUGAUCAAUAAAAGGUAAGGGGUAAUGAUCUUUUUUAGUAGCCUUAUUUAAAUUGCAGAAAUCAAUUACCAUCCUAUAGCCUGUAAUAAUUCUUUGCAGAAUCAAUUCAUCUUUAUCAUUAGGGACAACAGUAAUACCUCCCUUCUUAGGGACACAAUGAACAUGACUUACCCACUGACUAUCAACAAUGGGAUAAAUUAUACCUGCCUCAAGGAGCUUUAAUAUUUCUUUUCUCACCACUUCUUUUAUCUUAGGAUUCAGCCAUCGUUGAUGAUCAAUAACUGGUUUGGCGUUUUCCUCCAAAUUUAUUAUGUGUUGACAUAGAGUAGGACUAAUGCCCUUAAGAUCAUCAAGAGUAUAUCCAAUAGCAGCACGGUGCUUCUUCAGAGUUUUCAAUAAUUUCUCUUCCUCCUUCUCCGAAAGGUUAGCACUAAUAAUAACAGGAUAUAUUUUCUUUUCAUCAAGAUAAGCAUAUUUAAGAGUAUCAGGUAAUGGUUUAAGCUCAAACACGGGAUCACCCUUGGGUGGAGGAGGAUCAACGGGCAAGUUGUGUUUCAAAAUAGGUCCCUGUUUAAAGAAUACUUCAUGUAUUUCCCUUCUUUCAUGCAUGAACAUAUCAUUUUCAUGGUCUAGCAAAUAUUGUUCUAAUGGAUCAGCAGGAGGCACGGCAAUAGAAGCAAGACCAAUAAUUUCAUCUUUACUAGGCAAUUCUUUAUCAUGGGGUUGUCUAUGAAAUUUAGAAAAAUUAAACUCAUGAGACAUAUCAUCCAAACCAAUAGUAACAACAUCUUUCUUGCAAUCUAUCUUAGCAUUAACAGUGUUCAAGAAGGGUCUACCAAAUAUAAUGGGAAAAAGCUAUCUUGAGUGGAACCAAGAACAAGAAAAUCAGCAGGAUAUUUAGCCUUCCCACACAAGACUUCAACGUCUCUAACAAUCCCAAUUGGUGAAAUAGUAUCUCUAUUAGCAAGCUUAAUGGUAACAUCAAUACCUUCUAACUUAGCUGGUGCAAUAUCAUGCAUAACUUCUUUGUAUAAGGAAAUAGGUAUUACACUGGCACUAGCACCCAUAUCACAUAAGCCAUGAUAACAAUGACCUCCUAUUUUAACAGAAAUAAUAGGCAUGCCUACCACAGGUCUAUGUUUAUCUUUAGCACCAGGUUUAGCAAUUCUAGCAGUCUCAUCACAUAAAUAAAUAACAUGCCCAUCGAUAUUAUCAGCCAGGAAAUCUUUAACAAUAGCAAUAUCAGGUUCAACUUUAACUUGCUCAGGAGGUGUAGAAGUUCUAAUAUUACUUUUACGAACCAAAGUUGAAGCUUUAGCAUGAUGCUUUAUUCUAAUAGGGAAAGGUGGUUUCUCAACAUAAGUAGUGGGAACAAUAGGAUCAUUAUAAGUGAUAGUCUUUUCUUCAAUUUUAAUAGGUGCAACUACUUUUACUUCAAUGGGAGGAUUAUAUUUAAACCACUUCUCGCUGGGGAGAUCAAUAUGAGUAGCAAAAGAUUCACAAAAAGAAGCUACUAUCUCAGAGUCAAGUCCAUAUUUAGUGCUAAAUUUACGGAAAACAUCGGUAUCCAUAAAAGAUUUAACACAAUCAAACUUAGGUGUUAUACCUGACUCUUUACCUUUGUCGAGAUCCCAAUCUUCAGAGUUGCGUUUAAUUCUCUCCAAUAAAUUCCAUUUGUAUUCAAUAGUCUUCAUCAUAAAGGAGGCAGUACAAGAAAUAUCGAGCAUGGAGUGAUUGUUGUCAGAAAGCCGAGCAUAAAAUUUUUGAAUAAUCAUUUCUCUUGAGAGCUCAUGAUUGGGGCAUGAAUAUAACAUUGACUUAAGCCUCCCCCAAGCUUGAGCGAUGCUUUCUCCUUCGCGAGGCCAAAAAUUAUAUAUAUAAUUACGAUCACGAUGAACAAGACGCAUAGGAUAAUGCUACCUCUUGAGCACUGCGUUGGUUUUCCCUUGAAGAGGAAAUGAUGAUGCAGCAAAGUAGCGUAAGUAUUUCCCUCAGUUUUCGAGAACCAAUGUAUCAAUCCAGUAGGAGGCUACACGCGAGUCCCUCGCACCUGCACAAAACAAAUAAAUCCUCGCAACCAACGCGAUAAGGGGUUGUCAAUCCCUACAUGGUCACUUACGAGAGUGAGAUCUGAUAGAUAUGAUAAGAUAAUAUUUUUGGUAUUUUUAUGAUAAACAUGCAAAGUAAAAUAAAAGGCAAUGAAAAUAACUAAGUAAUGGAAGAUUAAUAUGAUGAAGAUAGACCCGGGGGCCAUAGGUUUCACUAGUGGCUUCUCUCAAGAGCAUAGGUAUUUUAAAGUGGGUGAACAAAUUACUGUUGAGCAAUUGACAGAAUUGAGCAUAGUUAUGAGAAUAUCUAGGUAUGAUCAUGUAUAUAAGCAUCACGUCCAAGACAAGUAGACCGACUCCUGCCUGCAUCUACUACUAUUACUCCACACAUCGACCGCUAUCCAGCAUGCAUCUAGAGUAUUAGGUUCAUAAGAACAGAGUAACACAUUAAGCAAGAUGACAUGAUAUAGAUGGAUAAACUCAUGCAAUAUGAUAAAAACCCCAUCUUGUUAUCCUCGAUGGCAACAAUACAAUACGUGCCUUGCUGCCCCUACUGUCACUGGGAAAGGACACCGCAAGAUUGAACCCAAAGCUAAGCACUUCUCCCAUUGCAAGAAAGAUCAAUCUAGUAGGCCAAACCAAACUGAUAAUUCGAAGAGACUUGCAAAGAUAACCAAUCAUACAUAAAAGAAUUCAGAGAAGAUUCAAAUAUUGAUCAUAGAUAGACUUGAUCAUAAACCCACAAUUCAUCGGUCUCGACAAACACACCGCAAAAAGAAGAUUACAUCGAAUAGAUCUCCACAAGAGAGGGGGAGAACAUUGUAUUGAGAUCCAAAAAGAGAGAAGAAGCCACCUAGCUACUAACUAUGGACCCGUAGGUCUGAGGUAAACUACUCACACUUCAUCGGAGGGGCUGUGGUGUUGAUGUAGAAGCCCUCCAUGAUGGAUACCCCCUCCGGCGGAGCUUCGGGACAGGCCCCAAGAUGGGAUCUGAUCGUUUGGGGAUACGUAGGUAUAUAUAGGAGGAAGAAGUACGUCGGUGGAGCAACAGGGGGCCCACGAGGGUGGAGAGCGCGCCCCCCUACCUCGUGGCCUCCCUGUUGGUUGCUUGACGUAGGGUCCAAGUCUCCUGGAUCUUGUUCGUUCCAAAAAAAUCACGUUCCCGAAGGUUUCAUUCCGUUUGGACUCCGUUUGAUAUUCCUUUUCUUUGAAACCCUAAAAUAGGCAAAAAAACAGCAAUUCUGGGCUGGGCCUCCGGUUAAUAGGUUAGUCCCAAAAAUAAUAUAAAAGUAUGAUAAAGCCCAAUAAUGUCCAAAACAGUAGAUAAUAUAGCAUGGAGCAAUCAAAAAUUAUAGAUACGUUGGAGACAUAUCAAGCAUCCCCAAGCUUAAUUCCUGCUCGUCCUCGAGUUGGUAAAUGAUAAAAAUAGAAUUUUUGAUGUGGAAUGCUACUAGGCAUAAUUUCAAUGUAAUUCUUCUUAAUUGUGGCAUGAAUAUUCAGAUCCGAAAGAUUCAAGAUAAAAGUUUAAUAUUGACAUAGAAAUAAUAAUACUUCAAGCAUACUAACUAAGCAAUUAUGUCUUCUCAAAAUAACAUGGCCAAAGAAAGUUCAUCCCUACAAAAUCAUAUAGUUUAGUCAUGCUCCAUUUUCAUCACACAAGAAUGCUCUCAUCAUGCACAACCCCGAUGACAAGCCAAGCAAUUGUUUCAUACUUUAGUAAUCUCAAACUUUAUAAACCUUCAUGUAAUACAUGAGCGCGAGCCAUGGACAUAGCACUAUGGGUGGAAUAGAGUAUAAUGAUGGGGGUUAUGUGGAGAAGACAAAAAGGAGAAAGUCUCACAUCAACGAGGCUAAUCAAUGAGCUAUGGAUAUGCUCAUCGAUUGAUGUUAAUGCAAGGAGUAGGGAUUGCCAUGCAAUGGGUGCACUAGAGCUAUAAAUGUAUGAAAGCUCAACAAAAGAAACUAGUGGGUGUGCAUCCAACUUGCUUGCUCACGAAGACCUAGGGCACUUGAGGAGUCCCAUUGUUGGAAUAUACAAGCCAAGUUCUAUAAUGAAAAAUUCCCACUAGUAUAUGAAAAUGAAAAACAAGAGACUCUCUAUCAUGAAGAUCAUGGUGCUACUUUGAAGCACAAGUGUGGAAAAAGGAUAGUAGAAUUGCCCCUUUUUAUUUCUUUUUUUUUGGGCCUUCAUUUUUUUAUUUGGCCUUUCUCUUUUUUUAUUGGGAAAAUGCUCUAUUAAAUGAUGAUCAUCACACUUCUAUUUAUGUACAACUCAAUGAUUACAACUCGAUACUAGAAUAAGGUAUGACUCUAUAUGAAUGCCUCCGGCAGUGUACUGGGAUAUGCAAUGAAUCAAGUGUGACAUGUAUGAAAAACUAUGAACGGUGGCUUUGCCACAAAUACGAUGUCAACUACACGAUCAUGCAAAGCAAUAUGACAAUGAUGAACGUGUCAUGAUAAACAGGAUGGUGGAAAGUUGCAUGGCAAUAUAUCUCGGAAUGGCUAUGGAAAUGCCAUAAUAGGUAGGUAUGGUGGCUGUUUUGAGGAAGAUAUAAGGAGGUUUAUGUGUGAAAGAGCGUAUCAUAUCAUGGGGUUUGGAUGCACCGGUGAAGUUUACACCAACUCUCAAUGUGAGAAAGGGCAAUGCACGGUACCGAAGAGGCUAGCAAUGAUGGAAGGGUGAGAGUGCGUAUAAUCCAUGGACUCCAACAUUAGUCAUAAAGAACUCACGUACUUAUUGCAAAAAUCUACAAGUCAUCAAAAACCAAGCACUACGUGCAUGCUCCUAGGGGGAUAGAUUGGUAGGAAAAGACCAUCGCUCAUCCCCGACCGCCACUCAUAAGGAGGACAAUCAAAGAACACCUCAUGUUUCAAAUUUGUUACAUAAUGUUUACCAUACAUGCAUGCUACGGGACUUGCAAACUUCAACACAAGUAUUUCUCAAUUUCACAACUACUCAACUAGCACAACUUUAAUAUCACUACCUCCAUAUCUCAAAACAAUCAUCAAACAUCAAACUUCUCUUAGUAUUCAACACACUCAUAAGAGAAUUUUAUUAUUAAUCUUGUAUACCUAGCAUAUUAGGAUUAUCUAAGAAAAUUACCAUGCUAUUUAAGACUCUCAAAAUAAUCUAAGUGAAGCAUGAGAGAUCAAUAGUUUCUAUAAAACAAAUCCACCACCGUGCUCUACAAGAUAUAAGUGAAGUACUAGAGCAGAACUAUAUAACUCAAAAGAUAUAAGUGAAGCACAUAGAUUAUUCUAAUAAUUUCCGAAUCAUGUGUGUUUCUCUCAAAAUGUGGGUACAGCAAAGAUGAUUGUGGUAAACUAAAAGGCAAAGACUCAAAUCAUACAAGACGCUCCAAGCAAAACACAUAUCACGUGGUGAAUAAAAAUAUAGCUCCAAGUAAAGUUACCGAUAGAAGUAGACGAAAGAGGGGAUGCCUUCCGGGGCAUCCCCAAGCUUUGGCUUUUAGGUGUCCUUAGAUUAUCUUGGGGGUUCGAUGGGCAUCCCCAAGCUUAGGAUCUUGCCACUCCUUGUUCCAUAAUCCAUGAAAUCUUUACCCAAAACUUGAAAACUUCACAACACAAAACUUAAAGUAGAAAAUCUCGUGAGCUCCGUUAGCCAAAGAAAACAAAAGACCACUUCAAGGUACUGUAAUGAACUCAUUCUUUAUUUAUAUUGGUGUUAGACCUACUGUAUUCCAACCUUUUUAUGGUUUAUGAACUAUUUUACUAGCCAUAGAUUCAUCAAAAUAAGCAAACAACACACGAAAAACAGAAUCUGUCAAAAACAGAACAGUCUGUAGUAACCUGUAGCUAGCGCAAGAUCUGAACCCCAAAAAAUCUAAAAUAAAUUUCUGGACGUGAGGAAUUUAUCUAUUAAUCAUCUUCAAAAAGAAUUAACUAAAUAGCACUUUCCAAAUAAAAAUGGCAGCAGUUCUCGUGAGCGCUAAAGUUUCUGUUUUUUACAGCAAGAUUAACAAGACUUUCCCCAAGUCUUCCCAACAGUUCUACUUGGCACAAACACUAAUUAAACACAAAAAACACAACCAAAACAGAGUCUAGAUAAAUUAUUUAUUACUAAACAUGAUCAAAAAGCAAGGAAUAAAAAUAAAAUUGGGUUGCCUCCCAACAAGCGCUAUCGUUUAACGCCCCUAGCUAGGCAUAAAAAGCAAGGAUAGAUCUAGGUAUUGCCAUCUUUGGUUGGUAAUUCUUCAAUGAGGCAUCUACCGUAUUUAGGAAUUUCUUUCUUUUUAUUGAUUAUCAAACUUUUAGGCACAAGAUCGAAAAAAUCAUUAGCAGCAAAUGGUUCCUUAAUAAUAGCAAAAAGAUUAGGAUGAACACUUAUAGAUUUGAGAUCCGCAGUUUCUUUGCUAGAGGAUUCACCUAUAUUUUUAGGAACAUACAUAAGCUUGGCAAUUUUAGUCGGAGGACUUGGAGUAUUCUUUAUGGAAGAAAAAGCGGUUCCCAAGUUGGUAAUGAUACCCUCAAGUUUAUCGAUUCUAGUGGAAUCAUGAUUUAUUCUUUCAUUAACUAUAGGUUCCUUCUCUUUAAUAUUUUUCAAAGUUACUCCUACUUUAGAUCCAUAUUGGGUAAUUUGGUUAUGGAUCUUUUUAUCGAAAUUUUCAAUUAACUCAAUGAUAGCAACUUUAUUUUCAAUAAUUCCAAGUUUUUGCAUUACAUGCUCCAAAGUUAACAUAGUUCCAUUAACCAAAAGAGGUGGUGAGCCAAACAAAUCUAUCAUAGCAUUGUAAGAAUCAAAAGUGUGGCUACCCAAGAAGUUACCUCCGGUAAUGGUAUCAAGGAUAUAUCUGUGCCAAGGAGUAACGCCUACAUAAAAAUUGCGAAGAAGAACAGAAGUAGAUUGCUUCCUGGUAGAUCUAUUUUGAGCAUUGCAAAUUCUAUACCAAGUGUCUUUUAGAUUUUCUCUCUCCCUUUGCUUAAAAUUUAGAACUUCAUUCUCGGGAGACAACGGAGAAGAUAGAGGACUCGCCAUAACGACAAGCAAACAGGGAAUGGGCAAAAAGAGGCAAAUAGAGAAAGAGAGGGAGGAUAGAGAGAGAGAGAGAGGGCGAAUAAAAUGACAAGGGUGAAGUGGGGCAGAGGAAAACGAGAGGCAAAUGGCAAAUAAUGUAAUGCGGGAGAUAAGGGUUUGUGAUGGGUACUUGGUAUGUUUGACUUUUCCUUAGACCUCACUGGCAACGGCGCCAGAAAUCCUUCUUGCUACCUCUUGAGCACUGCGUUGGUUUUCCCUUGAAGAGGAAAGGGUGAUGCAGCAAAGUAGCGUAAGUAUUUCCCUCAGUUUUUGAGAACCAAGGUAUCAAUCCAGUAGGAGGCUACGCGCGAGUCCCUUGCACCUGCACAAAACAAAUAAAUCCUCACAACCAACGCGAUAAGGGGUUGUCAAUACCUACACAGUCACUUACGAGAGUGAGAUCUGAUAGAUAUGAUAAGAUAAUAUUUUUGGUAUUUUUAUGAUAAAGAUGCAAAGUAAAAUAAAAGACAAUGAAAAUAACUAAGUAAUGGAAGAUUAAUAUGAUGAAGAUAGACCCGGGGGGCAUAUGUUUCACUAGUGGCUUCUACCAAGAGCAUAGGUAUUUUAAGGUGGGUGAACAAAUUACUGUUGAGCAAUUGAUAGAAUUGAGCAUAGUUAUGAGAAUAUCUAGGUAUGAUCAUGCAUAUAAGCAUCACGUCCGAGACAAGUAGACCGACUCCUGCCUGCAUCUACUACUAUUACUCCACACAUCGACCGCUAUCCAGCAUGCAUCUAGAGUAUUAAGUUCAUAAGAACAGAAUAACGCCUUAAGCAAGAUGACAUGAUGUAGAGGGAUAAACUCAUGCAAUAUGAUAAAAAAAACCAUCUUGUUAUCCUCGAUGGCAACAAUACAAUACGUGCCUUGCUGCCCCUACUGUCACUGGGAAAGGACACCGAAAGAUUGAACCCAAAGCUAAGCACUUCUCCCAUUACAAGAAAGAUCAAUCUAAUAGGCCAAAGCAAACUGAUAAUUCGAAGAGACUUGCAAAGAUAACCAAUCAUACAUAAAAGAAUUCAGAGAAGAUUCAAAUAUUGUUCAUAGAUAAACUUGAUCAUAAACCCACAAUUCAUCGGUCUCAACAAACACACCGCAAAAGAAGAUUACAUCGAAUAGAUCUCCACAAGAGAGGGGGAGAACUUUGUAUUGAGAUCCAAAAAGAGAGAAGAAGCCAUCUAGCUAAUAACUAUGGACCCAUAGGUCUGAGGUAAACUACGUACACUUCAUCGGAGAGGCUAUGGUGUUGAUGUAGAAGCCCUCCGUGAUCGAUGCCCCCUCCGGUGGAGCUCCGAAACAGGCCCCGCGAUGGGAUCUCGUGGAUACAGAAAGUUACGACAGUGGAAUUAGGGUUUUGGCUCCGUAUCUGAUCAUUUGGGGUAUGUAGGUAUAUAUAGGAGGAAGAAGUACGUUGGUGGAGCAAUAGGGGGCCCACGAGGGUGGAGGGCGCGCCUGGGGGGUAGGCGCGCCCCCUACCUCGUGGCCUCCCUGUUGGUUGCUUGAUGUAGGGUCCAAGUCUCCUGGAUCUUGUUCGUUCCAAAAAUCACGUUCCCGAAGGUUUCAUUCUGUUUGGACUCUGUUUGAUAUUCCUUUUCUUCGAAACCAUAAAACAGGCAAAAACAACAAUUCUGGGCUGGGCCUCCGGUUAAUAGGUUAGUCCUAAAAAUAAUAUAAAAGAGUAUAAUAAAGCCCAAUAAUGUCAAACCAGUAGAUAAUAUAGCAUGGAGCAAUCAUAAAUUAUAGAUACGUUGGAGACAUAUUAGAUAAACUUCUGAUGAAAUUCCAAUUUCAAUCGCUUAUAGUCCCAUGAUCCCAUAUCAUCACAUAGCCUAUACCAUAUCAAUGCAUCUCCCUUCAAAGAUAAAGGGAAGACCUUCUUCUUGAUAACAUCAUCGGGCAUAUCUGCAAGCUUAAAUAAUCCACAAACUUCAUCUACAUAGGUUAAGUGUAAGUCGGGAUGCAAUGUUCCAUCUCCUGCAAAAGGAUUAGCUAGCAGUUUCUCUAUCAUACCCGAAGGAAUUUUGAAGUAAACAUUUUCAUUUUCACUAGGUCCAGUAGGUUGAGGAGCAACUAUUUGCUCUACUGGUCAGGGUGAAGAUACUCCGAACAAGCCCCUCAAAGGAUUACUUUCCAUAGUAAUAAGUGACAGUAAAUUUCAGCACACCAUAUAAAUUUUUCCUUACCAAAUUCCACCUACCAAAGGCGCUUUGAUGACCCACAAGUAUAGGGGAUCUAUCGUAGUCCUUUCGAUAAGUAAGAGUGUCGAACCAAACGAGGAGCAGAAGGAAAUGAUAAGCGGUUUCCAGCAAGGUAUUCUCUGCAAGUACUGAAAUAAGUGGUAACAGAUAGUUUUGUGAUAAGAUAAUUUGUAACGAGCAACAAGUAACAAAAGUAAAUAAGGUGCAGCAAGGUGGCCCAAUCCUUUUUGUAGCAAAGGACAAGCUUGGACAAACUCUUAUAUGAUGUAAAGCUUUCCUGAGGACACAUGGGAAUAUUGUCAAGCUAGUUUUCAUCACGCUCAUAUGAUUCGCGUUCGGUACUUUGAUAAUUUGGUAUGUGGGUGGACCGGUGCUUGGGUGCUGCCCUUACUUGGACAAACAUCCCACUUAUGAUUAACCUCUAUUGCAAGCAUUCACAAAUACAACAAAAGUAUUAAGGUAAACCUAACCAUAGCAUGAAACAUAUGGAUCCAAAUCAGCCCCUUAUGAAGCAAUGCAUAAACUAGGGUUUAAGCUUUUGUCACUCUAGCAACCCAUCAUCUACUUAUUACUUCCCAAUGCCUUCCUCUAGGCCCAAACAUGGUGAAGUGUCAUGUAGUCGAUGUUCACAUAACACCACUAGAGGGGAGACAACAUACAUCUCAUCAAAAUAUCAAAAGAAUACCAAAUUCACAUGACUACUAAUAGCAAGACUUCUCUCAUGUCCUCAGGAACAAAAGUAACUACUCACAAAGCAUAAACAUGUUCAUAAUCAGAGGGGUAUUAAUGUGCAUAUAGGAUCUGAACAUAUGAUCUUCCACCAAUUAAACCAACUAGCAUCAAUUACAAGGAGUAAUUAACACUAUUAGCAACCUACUAGCACCAAUCCCGGACUUGGAGACAAGAAUUGGAUACAAGAGAUGAACUAGGGGUUUGAGAUGAGAUGGUCCUGAUGAAUAUGUUGAUGGAGAUUGCCCUCUCCCGAUGAGAGGAGCGUUGGUGAUGACGAUGGCGAUGAUUUCCCCCUCGGGGAGGGAAGUUUCCCCGGCAGAACAGCCCUGCCAGAACCCUAGAUUGGCUCCGCCAAGGUUCUGCCUCGUGGCGGCGGAGUUUCGUCCGAGAAGAUGGCUUAUGAUUUUUUUCCCAUUGAAAGAGUCCAUAUAGCAGAAGAUGGUCACCGGAGGGCCACUAGGGGGCCCACGAGGUAGGGGGCGCGCCCCCACCCUCGUGGGCAGGGUGUGGCCCCCCUGGUGAAGUUCUUGCGCUCAAUGUUUUUUAUAUAUUUAGAAAACAUCAUCCGUGAAGUUUCAGGACUUUUGGAGCUGUGCAGAAUAGGACUCUAAUAUUUGCUCCUUUUCCAGCCAGAAUCCCAGCUGUCGGCAUUCUCCCUCUUUAUGUAAACCUUGUAAAAUAAGAGAGAAUAGGCAUAAGUAUUAUGACAUAAUGUGUAAUAACAGCCCAUAAUGCAAUAAAUAUUGAUAUAAAAGCAUGAUGCAAAAUGGACGUAUCAACUCCCCCAAGCUUAGACCUCGCUUGUCCUCAAGCGAAAAGCCGAAAUCGAAAAAUAUGCCACAUGUUUAGAGAUGAAGGUGUCGAUAAAAAUAAAAUACGGACAUGAGGGCAUCAUGAUUAUUCUUAGAGCAACAACUUAUAUAAUUCUUGUCAUAUGAUAUCUUAUGCUAGAGUAAUAAUUCAAUCACAAUAUCAAGUAUGAAUCGUAAACUUCAUUCAAAACUAACAAACUAUAAUCUCGGUCAUUAAGGCAAUUGCAAUUUAUCAUAACAUAGGAAAGAGUCAAUGUAUAAGAGCUUUUUAGCAAGUCCACAUACUCAACUAUCAUAUAGUCUUUCACAAUUGCUGACACUCACGCAAUACUUAUGGGUAUGGAGUUUUAAUCGGACAUGGAGAAAGAUAGGGGCUUAUAGUUUUACCUCCCAACGUUUUACCUCAAGGGUAAUGUCAACAGUAAUAGUUCAUGAAAACCCACAUCCAAUUAGCCAUAUAUACCGGGAUCUUUCCAACAUAUUGUGCUUGCCAAAGGAUAAAAUGUAAAAAGGAAGAUCACCAUGACUCUUUCGCAGAGGGAAGCAGAGGUUGUCAUGCGCUUUUAUGGUUGGAUGCACAAAAUCCUAAUGUGAAAGAACACCACUUUAUAUUGCCACUUGUGAUAUGGACCUUUAUUAUGCAGGCUGUCGCUUUUAUUACUUCCAUAUCACACGAUCGUAUAAAGCUUAUUUCUACCACAACAAUCAAUCAUACAUAUUUAGAGAGCAAUUUUUAUUGCUUGCACCGAUCACAACUUACUUGAUGGGUCUUACUCAAUCCAUGGGUAGGUAUGGUGGACUCUCAUGGCAAAACUGGUUUAAGGGUAUUUGGAAGCACAAGUAGUAUCUCUACUUGGCACAAUGAAUUUGGCUAGCAUGAGGGAGAAAGGCAAGCUCAACAUGUUGGAGGAUCCAAGACAAUAUAAUUUAUCUCAGAUGUAAGAAAACAUAACCCAUUAUGUUGUCUUCCUUGUCCAAUAUCAACUCUUUAGCAUGUCAUAUUUUAAUGAGUGCUCACAAUUAUAAAAGAUGUCCAAGAUAGUAUAUUUAUAUGUGAAGACCUCUCUUUCUUUAUUACUUCCUAUUAAUUGCAACGAUGACCAAAACUAUGUUUGUCAACCCUCAAUAACUUUUAUUCAUCAUACUCUUUCUAUGUUAGCUCAUUACUCUCCAUAAGAGUCACAUGAUCUCUUUGUUUCUUUUUAUUUCUUUCUCUUUCCCUUUAUUCACUUAGGAUCAUGCCAAAAUAAUCAAGCCCUUGACUCAACACUAAUCUUUAUUAUAUAGCUCACGGACUCGGUUACAUAGAAGGAUAAUAAAGCAAAACUCACAACUAGAUCAUACUAAGAACUUUUAUUCUACUAGAUCAAAAUAUUACCAAAAGGAUCAAACUAAGAAAAACGAUAAAGAUAAAAGUGAUGGUGAUACGAUACCGGGGCACUCCCCCAAGCUUGGCAGUUGCCAAGUGGAGUGCCCAUACCAGAUACUCAAUUCUUCUUUGUUGGUGAAGAAGGUGGGGAUGUUGAUGAUGGAUAGUCGCACAUCGAGCGUAGGAGGUCUUCUAACUUGCGGAUAAUGCCCUUGAGUGCGAUGAUAUGCUCCUUCAACAAAAUAUUUUCACGUGUGAGAUACUUAUUUUGUAUACGAGCUAACUCAAUCAUCUUGAAAGCUUCGAUUUCUAUUGGGGUAAGAAGAUUAUGAUUCAGUUGAAGGGUGUCUUCUGUUGCUGGAACUUGGUCCUCCAUGGCCUUCUUGAUCCCUUCAUCCUUGUUGAUCUCCAUAGGUUCUUCUCUCUUCAGCUCUAUCUUCAUUAGCCAAGCAUCAUUGCCCUCAGGUUGUAAGAGGAGGGAGACAACAUAGUGCCUGGCCUUGACAACCCUGACAGAAACAGCUCGAAACAAAAACAAGAGGAUUUUGCAUGAUACAGGAGUCAAAAUCUCCAGGAGAUUAUUUAAUGAAUUUUUACCGACCAAAAUACGUGUCAUGCAAGAAAACGGAGUCCGGAGAGCACAUGAGGUGCCCACGAGGUAGGGGGGCGCGCCGUCCACCCUCGUGGAGCCCUCGUGUCCUUUCUGGACUGCUGCUUAUUUUUCUAUUUUUCUAAAUAUUCCAAAACGAAGAAAUAUUGCCUUAAAAUUGUUUUGGAGUCGGUUUACUUACCGUACCACAUACCUAUUCCUUUUCGGAGUCUGAAGCGUUCCGGAAAGUGUCCCUUAUGUAUUCCUCCGGGGUUACGGUUUCAAUAAUAUUGGUUUCAACAUUUAUGGGAUUACCUGAGAUAUAAUGUUUGAUUCUUUGACCAUUUACCACCUUCGGAUUUGUGCCUUCGAAGUUGUUGAUUUUUAUGGCACCGAAACGGUAGAUCUCCUCGAUAACGUAGGGACCUUCCCAUUUAGAGAGAAGUUUUCCUGCAAAAAAUCUUAAACGAGAGUUGUAUAGCAAUACAUAAUCACCUACAUUAAACUCACGCUUUUGUAUUCUUUUAUCAUGCCACCUUUUAACUUUUUCUUUAAACAACUUGGCAUUUUCAUAGGCUAGGGUUCUCCAUUCAUCAAGUGAAUUAAUAUCAAAUAACCUCUUCUCACCGGCAAGUUUAAAAUCAUAAUUUAGUUCUUUAAUAGCCCAAUAAGCCUUGUGUUCUAGUUCGAGAGGUAAGUGACAUGCUUUUCCAUAGACCAUUUUAUACGGAGACAUACCCAUAGGAUUUUUAUAUGCAGUUCUAUAGGCCCAUAAUGCAUCAUCAAGUUUCUUCGACCAAUUCUUUCUAGACCUAUUAACAGUCUUUUGCAAAAUUAAUUUGAGUUCUCUAUUACUCAAUUCUACUUGACCACUAGACUGAGGGUGAUAGGGAGAUGCAAUUCUAUGAUUAACAUCAUAUUUAGCAAGCAUUUUACGGAAAGCACCAUGAAUAAAAUGUGAACCACCAUCAAUCAUUAAAUAUCUAGGGACUCCAAACCUUGGAAAGCUAAUUUCUUUAAGCAUUUCAAUAGAAGUGUUAUGAUCAGCACUACUAGUUGGAAUAGCUUCUACCCACUUAGUAACGUAAUCAACAACAACUAAAAUAUGUGUAUAACCAUUAGAGGAAGGAAAAGGUCCCAUAUAGUCAAAGCCCCAAACAUCAAAUGGUUCAAUAACAAGUGAAUAAUUCAUAGGCAUUUCUUGACGUCUACUAAUAUUACCAAUUCUUUGACAUUCAUCACAAGCUAAGACAAACUUACGGGCAUCCUUGAAGAGAGUAGGCCAAUAAAAACCAGAUUGCAAUACCUUAUGUGCAGUUCUAUCUUCAGCAUGGUGUCCUCCAUAAGCUUCGGAGUGACACUUGCGUAGGAUCUGUUCCUGUUCAUGCUCAGGUACACAACGUCUAAUAACACCAUCUACUCCUUCUUUAUAAAGAUGUGGGUCAUCCCAAAAGUAAUGCCUCAAAUCAUAGAAGAACUUUUUCUUUUGCUGGUAUGUGAAACUAGGUGGUAUAAACUUAGCAACAAUGUAAUUGGCAUAAUCAACAUACCAUGGAGCAGUAUGAGAAGUAUUUAUGACAUUUAAUUGCUCAUCAGGAAAGCUAUCAUCAAUAGGUAGUGGGUCAUCAAGCACAUUUUCUAACCUAGACAAGUUGUCUGCAACGGGGUUCUCAGCUCCUUUUCUAUCAACAAUAUGUAAAUCAAAUUCUUGAAGCAAGAGAACCCAUCUAAUAAGUCUAGGUUUAGCAUCUUUCUUUUCCAUAAGAUAUUUAAUAGCAGCAUGAUCAGUGUGAAUAGUUACUUUAGAAUCAACAAUAUAGGGUCUAAACUUAUCACAAGCAAAUACAACUGCUAAGAAUUCCUUUUCAGUAGUAGCAUAAUUUCUUUGAGCAUUGUCUAGAGUUUUACUAGCAUAUUGAAUAACAUUUAGUUUCUUAUCAACUCUUUGUCCUAGAAUAGCACCUACAGCAUAAUCACUAGCAUCACACAUAAUUUCAAAGGGUAAAUUCCAAUCAGGUGGCUGAACAAUAGGUGCAGAGAUCAAUGCUUUCUUAAGUAUUUCAAAUGCUUCUACACAAUCAUCAUCAAAAACAAAUGGUAUAUCUUUUUGUAAUAAAUUAGCCAGAGGCCGAGAAAUGUUUGAGAAGUCCUUAAUGAACCUCCUAUAAAACUAGCAUGACCAAGGAAACUUCUUAUACCUUUGAUGUCCUUGGGACAUGGCAUAUUUUCAAUAGCAUCAACCUUGGCUUUAUCAACUUCAAUACCUCUUUCAGAAACUUUAUGCCCGAAGGCAAUACCUUCAUUAACCAUAAAGUGGCACUUUUCCCAAUUCAGGACAAGAUUAGUUUCUUCACAUCUCUGCAAAACUCGAUCAAGUUUGCUAAAGCAAUCAUCAAAAGAAGAUCCAUAGACGGAAAAGUCGUCCAUGAAAACCUCACAAAUCUUUUCACAGAAGUCAGAGAAUAUAGCCAUCAUGCAUCUUUGAAAGGUAGCAGGUGCAUUACAUAAACCAAAAGGCAUACGUCUAUAAGCAAAAUUACCAAAAGGGCAUGUAAAAGUAGUCUUUGAUUGAUCUUUGACUGACACAUGUAUUUGAGAGAAACCAGAAUAACCAUCUAGAAAGCAAAAAUGUGUAUAUUUGGGUAAUCUUUCUAGCAUUUGAUCGAUAAAAGGUAAGGGGUAAUGAUACUUUUUAGUAGCCUUAUUUAAUUUGCGGAAAUCAAUUACCAUCCUAUAACCAGUAACAAUUCUUUGAGGAAUUAAUUCAUCUUUGUCAUUAGGAACAACAGUAAUACCUUCCUUCUUAGGGACACAAUGGACAGGGCUUACCCACUGACUAUCAGCAACGGGGUAAAUUAUACCUGCCCCAAGGAGCUUUAGUAUCUCCUUUCUUACCACUUCUUUCAUUUUAGGAUUCAGACGGCGUUGAUGAUCACGAACUGGUUUAGCAUCUUCUUCCAAAUUAAUUUUAUGUUGACAUAGAGUGGGACUAAUGCCCUUAAGAUCAUCAAGAGUAUACCCAAUAGCAGCACGGUGCUUCUUCAGAAUUUUCAAUAAUCUCUCUUCUUCAUGUUCUGAAAGGUUAGCACUAAUAAUAACAGGGUAUAUCUUUUUCUCAUCAAGAUAAGCAUAUUUAAGAGUAUCCGGUAAAGGUUUAAGCUCAAACACGGGAUUACCCUUGGGCGGAGGAGGAUCCCCUAGGAUUUCAACAGGUAAAUUGUGUUUCAGAAUAGGUUCCUGUUUAAAGAAUACUUCAUCUAAUUCUAUUCUUUCAUUCAUAAACAUAUCAUUUUCAUGGUCUAGCAAAUAUUGUUCUAAAGGAUCACUAGGAGGUACGACAAUAGAAGCAAGACCAAUAAUUUCAUCUUUACUAGGUAAUUCUUCUUCACGGUGUUGUCUAAUAAAUUUAGAAAAAUUAAAUUCAUGAGUCAUAUCAUCUAAACCGACAGUAACAACAUCUCUUUUGCAAUCUAUGGUAGCAUUAACAGUAUUUAAGAAGGGUCUACCAAAUAUAAUGGGACAGAAGCUAUCUUGUGGGGAACCAAGAACAAGAAAAUCAGCAGGAUAUUUAGUUUUCCCACACAAGACUUCAACAUCUCUAACAAUUCCCAUUAGUGAAAUAGUAUCUCUAUUAGCAAGUUUAAUUGUGACAUCAAUAUCUUCUAACUCAACAGGUGCAAUGUCAUGCAUAAUUUCGUUGUAUAAGUCAAUAGGUAUUGCACUAGCACUAGCACCCAUAUCAUAUAAGCCAUGAUAACAAUGAUCUCCUAUUUUAACAAAAAUAACAGGCAUGCCUAUCACAGGUCUAGGUUUAUCUGUAUCACGGGGUUUAGCAAUUCUAGCAGUUUCAUCACAGAAAUAAAUAACAUGCCCAUCUAUAUUAUCAGACAAGAGAUCUUUAACAAUAGCAAUAUUAGGUUCAACUUUAACUUGCUCAGGAGGUGUAUAUGUUUUAAUAUUGCUUUUACGAACCACAGUUGAAGCUUUAGCAUGAUCCUUUAUCCUAACAGGGAAAGGUGGUUUCUCAACACAAGAAGUAGGAACAAUAGGAUCAUUAUAAGUAAUAGUCUUUUCUUCAACUUUAAUAGGUGCAGCUACUUUUACUUCUACGGGAGGAUGAUAUUUAAACCACUUCUCCUUGGGGAGAUCAACAUAAGCAGCAAAAGAUUAACAGGAAGAAGCUACUAUCUCAGAGUCAAGUCCAUAUUUAGUGCUAAAUUUACGAAAAAUAUCGGUAUCUAUAAAAGAUUUAACACAAUCAAAACUAGGUGUCAUGCCUGACUCCUUACCAUUGUCGAGGUCCCAAUCUUCGGAGUUGCGUUUAAUUCUUUCCAAUAAAUCCCAUUUGAAUUCAAUAGUCUUCAUCAUAAAAGAGCCAGAACAAGAAGUAUCAAGCAUGGUGCGAUUGUUAUCAGAAAGCCGAGCAUAGAAAUUUUGAAUAAUCAUUUCUCUUGAGAGCUCAUGAUUGGGGCAUGAAUAUAACAUUGAUUUAAGCCUCCCCCAAGCUUGAGCGAUGCUUUCUCCUUUGCGAGGCCAAAAAUUAUAUAUAUAAUUGCGAUCACGAUGAACAAGAUGCAUAGGAUAAAACUUUUGAUGAAAUUCCAGUUUCAAUCGUUUGUAGUUCCAAGACUCCAUAUUGUCACAUAGCCUAUACCAUGUCGAUGCAUCUCCCCUCAAAGAUAAAGGGAAGACCUUCUUGUUAACAACAUCUCCGGGUACACCUGCAAGCUUAGAUAAUCCACAAACUUCAUCCACAUAUAUUGGAUGUUCAUUAGGAUGUUUUGUUCCAUCUCCUAAAAAGGGAUUAGCUAGCAGUUUUUCUACCAUACCCAAAGGAAUUUCAAAGCAAGCAUUUUCAUUUUCAGUAGGUUCAGUAGGUUAAGGAGCAACUCUUUGCUAUACUGGUCGGGGUGAAGAUACCCCGAACAAGCCCCUCAGAGGAUUACUUUCCACAGUAACAAGUGACAGUAAAUUUCAGCACACUAUAUAAAUUUUUCCUUACCAAAUUCCACCUACCAAAGGCGCUUCACUCCCCGGCAACGGGCCAGAAAAGAGUCUUGAUGACCCACAAGUAUAGGGUAUCUAUCGUAGUCCUCUCGAUAAGUAAGAGUGUCGAACCCAACGAGGAGCAGAAGGAAAUGAUAAGCGGUUUCCAGCAAGGUAUUCUCUGCAAGUACUGAAAUAAGUGGUAACAGAUAGUUUUGUGAUAAGAUAAUUUAUAACGAGCAAAAAGUAACAAAAGUAAAUAAGGUGCGGCAAGGUGGCCCAAUCCUUUUUGUAGCAAAGGACAAGCCUGGACAAACUCUUAUAUGAUGUAAAGCGCUCCCGAGGACACAUGGGAAUAUUGUCAAGCUAGUUUUCAUCACGCUCAUAUGAUUCGCGUUCGGUACUUUGAUAAUUUGGUAUGUGGGUGGACCGGUGCUUGGGUGCUGCCCUUACUUGGACAAACAUCCCACUUGUGAUUAACCUCUAUUGCAAGCAUCCGCAAAUACAACAAAAGUAUUAAGGUAAACCUAACCAUAGCAUGAAACAUAUGGAUCCAAAUCAGCCCAUUACGAAGCAACGCAUAAACUAGGGUUUAAGCUUCUGUCACUCUAGCAACCCAUCAUCUAAUUAUUACUUCCCAAUGCCUUCCUCUAGGCCCAAACAAUGGUGAAGUGUCAUGUAGUCGAUGUUCACAUAACACCACUAGAGGAGAGACAACAUACAUCUCAUCAAAAUAUCGAACGAAUACCAAAUUCACAUGACUACUAAUAGCAAGACUUCUCACAUGUCCUCAGGAACAAAAGUAACUACUCACAAAGCAUAAACAUGUUCAUAAUCAGAGGGGUAUUAAUGUGCAAAUAGGAUCUGAACAUAUAAUCUUCCACCAAGUAAAUCAACUAGCAUCAAUUACAAAGAGUAAUCAACACUACUAGCAACCUACUAGCACCAAUCCCGGACUUGGAGAUAAGAAUUGGAUACAAGAGAUGAACUAGGGUUUUGAGAUGAGAUGGUGCUGAUGAAGAUGUUGAUGGAGAUUGCCCUCUCCCGAUGAGAGGAGCGUUGGUGAUGACGAUGGCGAUGAUUUCCCCCUCCGGGAGGGAAGUUUCCCCGGCAGAACAGCCCGGCCAGAACCCUAGAUUGGCUCUGCCAAGGUUCUGCCUCGUGGCGGCGGAGUUUCGUCCGAGAAGAUGGCUUAUGAUUUUUUCCCAUCGAAAGAGUCCAUAUAGCAGAAGAUGGUCACCGGAGGGCCACCAGGGGGCCCACGAGGUAGGGGGCGCGCCCAGGAGGGUAGGGCGCGCCCCCACCCUCGUGGGCAGGGUGUGGCCCCCCUGGUGAAGUUCUUGCACUCAAUGUUUUUAUAUAUUUGGAAAACAUCAUCCGUGAAGUUUCAGGACUUUUGGAGCUGUGCAGAAUAGGUCUCUAAUAUUUGCUCCUUUUCCAGCCAGAAUCCCAGCUGCCGGCAUUCUCCCUCUUUAUGUAAACCUUGUAAAAUAAGAGAGAAUAGGCAUAAGUAUUGUGACAUAAUGUGUAAUAACAGCCCAUAAAUGCAAUAAAUAUUGAUAUAAAAGCAUGAUGCAAAAUGGACGUAUCACGCUUCACUCCCCGACAACGGCGCCAGAAAAGAGUCUUGAUGACCCACAAGUAUAGGGGAUCUAUCAUAGUCCUUUCGAUAAGUAAGAGUGUCGAACCCAACGAGGAGCAGAAGGAAAUGAUAAGAGGUUUUCGGCAACGUAUUCUCUGUAAGCACUUAAAUUAUCGGUAACAGAUAGUUUUGUGAUAAGGUAAUUGGUGACGAGUAGCAAGUAGUAAAAGUAAAUAAGGUGCAACAAGAUGGCCCAAUCCUUUUUGUAGCAAAGGACAAGCCUGUACAAACUCUUAUAUGAUGUAAAGCGCUCCUGAGGACACAUGGGAAUUAUUGUCAAGCUAGUUUUCAUCAUGAUCAUAUGAUUCGCGUUCGGUACUUUGAUAAUCUGAUAUGAGGGUGGACCGGUGCUUGGGUGCUGUCCUUACUUGGACAAGCAUCCCACUUAUGAUUAACCCCUAUUGCAAGCAUCCGCAACUACAACAGAAGUAUUAAGGUAAACCUAACCAUAGCAUGAAACAUAUGGAUCCAAAUCAGCCCCUUACGAAGCAACGCAUAAACUAGGGUUUAAGCUUCUGUCACUCUAGCAACCCAUCAUCUACUUAUUACUUUCCAAUGCCUCCCUCUAGGCCCAAACAAUGGUGAAGUGCCAUGUACUCGACGUUCACAUGACACCACUAGAGGGAUGACAACAUACAUCUCAUCAAAAUAUCGAACAAAUACCAAAUUCACAUGACUACUAAUAGCAAGACUUCUCCCAUGUCCUCAGGAACAAACGUAACUACUCACAAAGCAUAUUCAUGUUCAUAAUCAAAGGGGUAUUAAUAUGCAUAAUGGAUCUGAACAUAUAAUCUUCCACCAAGUAAACCAACUAGAAUCAAUUACAAGGAGUAAUCAACCCUACUAGCAACCCACAGGUACCAAUCUGAGGUUUGGAUACAAAGAUUGGAUACAAGAGAUUAACUAGGGUUUGAGAUGAGAUGGUGUUGGUGAAGAUGUUGAUGAAGAUUGACCCCCUCCUGAUGAGAGGAUCGUUGGUGAUGACGAUGGUGAUGAUUUCCCCCUCCUGAAGGGAAGUUUCCCCGGCAGAACAGCUCCGCCAGAGCCCUAGAUUGGUUCCUCCAAGGUUCCGUCUCGUGGCGGCGAAGUCUCGUCCCGAAAGCUUGCUUAUGAUUUUUUCCUCAACGAAAGACUCCAUAUAGCAAAAGAUGGUCAUCGGAGGGCCACCAGGGGGCCCACGAGGCAGGGGGGCGCGCCCAGGGGGGUAGGGCGCGCCCCCACCCUCGUGGCUGGUGGCCCCCCUCUGGUACUUCUUGCGCUCAAUAUUUUUUAUAUAUUCUGGAAAUAACUUCCGUGAAGUUUCAGGACUUUUGGAGCUGUGCAGAAUAGGUCUCUAAUAUUUGCUCCUUUUCCAUCCUAGAAUCCUAGUUGUUCACUCUCCUUCUUUCGGAGCAGGCCUUUCUUGAGCCCAAUCAACUCGGUGAUAUCAUGGGAAACCUCCAAGUCAACCCUCAAGGUAUGGAUCAAUGGUCUUGGAGACAUGGCAAGUCUCUGAAUAUACUGCUAAAAAAGUACUACACUUUUUUCAUCAGCCAACUACAACCAACCCAGUAUUGACUUGGACAUGGAAGAGUUGUUGCACCAUGUCAAUCAAGAUGUUUGUUUGACUGGUAAUUAUGGACAGAGUUAAAACCAAAGAUAUGAUACAAGGUAGACAUUGGAGAAUUGAUGAUGGCCCACAAUGUGUCUUGUGCCCAACUUUUGCCUUAGAGGAUAGAAAUCACCUAUUUUUUCAAUACUUUGGUGUGAGGAUAUGGAACUAUCUGCAAAUUUUUUGUCCGAACAACCAAUACAUGGUGCAAAUUGCCAUUGGUACAAGGAAGGACUUUAACAAACCGUUCUUUUCAAAGGUAGUCUUUCUAGCCUGGUGGAUUAUUUGGAAGAUCAGAAAUGACAAGGUAUUCAGACACAUCAUGCCAUCCUUUGGCCAUUGGAGAAGUGGAUUCAUCCAUGACAUCACAUUGCUCACACACAGGAGAAGAUGCACUCCAUAGAUGGACAAAUUUUUACUCCUUAGGUUUUAGAGGUAGUUUGCUUUCUGUUUCCUUUUUCUUUUAUAGUUUUGUCAUUUUUUUGUUCCUCUUCUUGAGGAACUUGCACAAUAAUAUUCUUUGUUCUUUUAUCAAUAAAAUGUUGUUGGGUGUAAGCCCUGUAGUUUCCAUGGUAAAAAAAUCAUGAUGAAUGGCAUGCUUGCCAUCACAAGGCCACACCUUUGCUGAAUUUGGUCCUUUGGAGGGAGUCUAUUCGAAUCGAGUUGCCAUAGAAAGAUGUUGGUUAUGAGUCGAAUCAACCAGUUUCAAACGUCACGAAAGUAGAGAAGCAACACUCUCUAACACAGUUGGGUGUAGUCGAUUCGAUAUAGUAAUAGCCACUUAGAGAUGUCACUCAAGAGUUGGACCAGUCCAGUUAGGCAUAUGACUUCUUCCACUUCUAUUCUAAAGUGUGUGUAAAUUUUAACACUCCAUCUGUUUUAAAAUACUUCACACACUAAUUUUUUUAGAACAAGCAUUUGACCGCAUUUACUCUGUUAGUAUAUAUUUUAUGCGAAACACAAUUGAUGUCCUUAAAUCCGGAUUCCAAACUGCCUGUUUGUAGUUACAAUUUUGUCUCACAAAAUUUACAUAUCAACAAUGUAAUUGACUGUCAAAGGCUUGUCCUAAUAAAAGCAAAUAUGUGAAGUACUAUUUUGAAAUGGAUCAUUGGAAGAUGAGAUAAUUGCACAAACCACCAACUAUUGUUGUUGAUUUUCCAGAGUACCUAUUUUAUGGUUUUGUUGCACAAAACACCGCAUAUUGGUGCAAUAUGUUGCAGCUAAGUAUAAUCCAGCAUUUAGGUAGGUUUACAUGGUUUGUGACAAGUGGAUCUCAUUGGUAAGUACAUGGGUGGCAAAAAAAUAGGCCGCAUUAGUAGGCCAACUAAAAAAAACCUUUGGUCCAAUUUUGUUGAAAAUUUCCAGGAUAAAUAUUGAGUACAGUAUGAUGGCGUCGUAUCUUAUGCAUCCGGUAACCCUCGUGCAUCCCUGUAGCCGGUCGUCCUCGUUCGUCCGAUCCUAAUCCUCGUCCUCCCGUGAGUUGGCUCUUAUUUUGCAGAAAAAUGCCCGCUUGUGCCCUUGUAUUUAGACUCUCAUCACAAAUUUACCGUUAUCUGCAAUGUAAUCUCCUUGAUACAUCUGACAACUUUUAGAAAAUUCACACGUCUAACAAGGGCACAGGCGGGCGUUUUUCUGCAAAAUAAGAGCCAACUCACGGGAGACGAGGAUUAGGAUCGGACGAACGAGGACGAGCGGCUACAGGGAUGCACGAGGGUUACUGGAUGCAUAAGAUACGACGUCCAGUAUGAUUUACUAUCUUUUUUCUUUUUACUAAAAAUAUUAAAUUAAAAAAAGACAAGCUAACUAACAUUCCCAUGCUAAUCUCGUCGAUCGAUGGCCUGCUUUUUUGUCAUGCGUGCACUUACAAGCGGGAUCCACCUAUAAGAAAUCAAAUUAACAUACCCAUCGUUGGAUUAGACCAAGCUACAACGGAUUACACCAAUAUAUGACGUUUUGUAUGGACGUGGAGUAUUUGCAACGAAAAUUCCAGGAAGUUAUUUUAUCACGAAAAUUUCAGUUUAUUUACCAUUUUUCUUCUUCAGAUUUUACUGUUCAUUAGGAAGUAUGUGAGCCCGGGAUCAAAAGAGCACUGUCGGUUUUGUACAACAAAUCCAUAGAAUAGUUGUCUCCGUGCAAAAUCAUCACCAACAGUUAGUGAUUCGUGCAAUUUUCUCUUACAAGGAAUUUAUGUAACCCAUGUGUCCCAAACAGGACCUUAAAUGCGGUUCACUUUCAAUGAGAAUCUAAAAACCAUCGACGAAAAGAGAGAGACAGAGAGGGGAGACUGGAUCUGGUCAUGUGGUCCGCACGUGGUGCCACCUCACCAGUCCCCCCUCCGCGAGCCAAACCGCUCGCUCCACUCCACCACCAUUCGCACCCGCCUCCCGGUUUUGACGCUCUCUCCUCUCCCCAUUCCACUACGCCCCGAACAUCCCACCUCCUCCCGACACGCAACGACGGAACGGAGCCAAUUUCCUUCCCCGCCUCCGGAUGUCCCUGCCCCUGCCCCGUCCUCUCGUCUCUCGAUCUGAUCGAGGCCACGGCCCGGCGGGAAUGGCGGCCGAGUCGUCGGCGGCGGCCGGCAUGCGCAAGGCGCCCUCCAUGGAGUGGCGCUGGGUGUCCGCGGGGGAGGAGGAGGACGACGAGCUGGAGGGCCGCGGGGCGGGGGGCCCCGCGGCCGUCGGGGCGGCGGGCCGGGGCGGCAGCUUCGAGUCCGAGUCCGAGGACGACAACGUCGACUACGAGGACGAGGACGAGGAGCAGAGGGAGGCCCGGCAGCGCCUGAUCCGCACCGUGCCCACCGUCGACUGGUUCGACGUCGAGGGCAACGAGGUCUCCGGCGCGCAGCCGCUCGAGGACCCCGAGGUGAGCGCGCGCUCUGUUUCCCCUCCUGGUCUCGUGUCGUUCGAUUGCGUAUGCGGCGAGGUGUUCGACGCACGCUGCUCAUGCCGCGCGCGUGGAAUGCCGUGAGAGUGGUGACCAGACCACCGACCGGUGCGAUUUUGGUUAGCUUCGGCGUUUGCCCAUUGGAUUGGAGAAGUGCGAAUCUGCACAUCCUUGUGGUUCAGGAUGGCCGUGCUUGGAUGAGGGGAUGCAUAUGUUGCGUUCGAUCAGAAACAUCAAUUGUUUUGUUCCUUCAUCCAAAUUUUGUUUGCAUAACAUUGUGACUGGUAAUCAGGAUGCGGCGGGAAUGGUGAUUACGUGCGCUCAUGUUAUUUGUGACCGUUUUCUUGUGCAUAAAUCGGAACAAUAGUUAUCAGAUGAGUUAAUUUCGUAUCACUUACAUGUAGUGCUGAUAUUUCUGCGACCCAUCACCCACCCCAAUCUGCUCAUACAAGACAUAACUUGUACAUAAAAGUGAAUCAGUAAACUGCUAUACUAAUCUUGCCGGAGACAAUGUUUGCCUCCAUCUGUUAUGUAAAUCAGACCACUUCUCUUCCAUAAAAGUUUAGAUUCUUUCGGUGUACGUUCAAUGCAGGAACCUCUUCCAGCUCCGUGGGUGGUUAAAGCGAGAAUACGGGCAAUCAUCAAAUUUCAAACGUCAUAAUUAAAGAUACCUUGUCCAACGCAAGUACCUCUUUCUAGGUGGUCUAAGAACUUAUAUAGGCACUUGUAGUCUCUCCAAUGCAAAAGUCCAUUCCUAGUAAAAAAUUGUCUAUGCUUGCUAUCGAAGAUUUAAAGCAGGUAUUGAACAAAUCUGCCCAACUAUAAACUUCCAACAUGAAAACGAGAUUCCAAUUCAACACCAAAGACCUCGAAGAGUCACAUUUUCUCCCUUUCAAAUUAGAGAAUUCGAUUUCUCCUUGAACAUAUUUUUUUGCUGGCAAGCUAUCAGACCUCGGAGAGUCACAUUUUAUCCCUUGUUUCAAAUUAGAGAAUUGGAUUUCUCCUUGAACAUAAUAUUUUGGUGACAAGCUACACCCAGAUGCAUGCAAAGUUCCCUAGUAAAAAGGAUGAAUUCAAAGUGCUUAGUGAUGCCAUCUCAAGGCCCCCCUCCCCCUUACGACCUAAUAUUACCACCCUGCUGUCCUGCAUAGCAAACAAAAUCUUUUACUUUUUACCUUCAUCAUUCCAAGCAACCGCAUUGCAGACAGUUCAGGGCAUUUUCGAUGCAGUAGUAGAAUAGAUGGGUGUUAGUACGAAAGCUAAAAUUAUAGGCUACUGUUAUGGUUUUUAACAAUUUAUCAGGUCGGUGUGCGAAUAACGUCACCUUUUUUUUCGAGUGACUUCAUCUAUUGAGUAACCAUAACUGAAGUCAUAUCAUCGGAAGAAAUGUAUAUUUUCCCAGGAGGGAGAUGUGUUUAAUUAUGAGAUGAACCAUAAGAGUUGAAAAUUUCAUCAGCAGAAUAUCUUUGUGGAGAUCGAUCUAUGGGAUAGUCUUUGUUGACAGUUGUAUGAAAUUAAAUGCAUGUAGAUAGUAAUGUCCUCACCGUUUAAAUAAAGAAUAUAUAUUUUCUUAUCAUGUUUCCUUCAUUAUCUGGCGCAUGGUUCAGUUAUUUCAUUUACAUGUGCAGGAGUUUGAUUUUGGCAGGACAGUAUUUCUUGCUCUUCAGACUCUUGCUGUGGUUUUCGGAGAUAUUGGAAUAAGUCCACUGUAUACAUUUGAUGUCAUGUUCAACAAGUACCCUAUUCUUGAGGAGGAGGAUGUUCUGGGAGCACUCUCACUAGUUCUGUAUACUCUGAUUUUGAUGCCAUUGGUGAAGUAUGUCUUGGUUGUCCUUUGGGCUAAUGAUGAUGGUGAAGGUAUAUUCGAGGUUGUGAAUUGAGUUAAUAAGGUAAAAAAAAAUUAUACAGGGAUAUGUUACAGGCUUAACAUCCUUCAAUUAUUUUAUGACUCCACAGGUGGUAUAUUUGCCAUGUAUUCUUUAAUUUGUAGAAAUGCAAAAGUGAGUCUCAUUCCAAACCAAGUACAAGCUCAGCCUGAGAAGAGGAUGUCAAGUUUCCGUCUCAAGCUUCCCACAGAUGAGCUUGAGAGGUCCAUAAAAGUAAAGGAGAAACUUGAAUCUUCACUCAUGAUGAAGAAGUUACUUUUAGGCUUAGUACUAUUUGGGACUGCCAUGUUUAUAUCCAAUGGAGUUAUCACACCAGCAAUGUCAGGUUUGUUUCUUCUUCUUGACACACGUUCAGUGGUACAUCAUAAAGAAUUGAAGAACAAAACAUGUUUAUUUUCUUUACAAGUGUAGUUUAUGCGGACUAUUUUCCAAUAAUUUUUUAUCAUUGAAUAGUGCUGUCUGCUGUCAGCGGCUUGAAAGUUGGGAUACCAAAGGCCUCACAAGGUGAAGUUCCUUUUAUUUAAUGGAACAAAAGUAAGCUAUUUAUUUUAUAAUUUAUGCUAGUUUCUCUUCCUAAUUCCAUCAAACGUUAUUUGCAGAUGUUGUGGUGAUGAUUUCAAUUGCACUUCUUGUUGUCCUGUAUAGUCUACAGAGAUAUGCCACUAGCAAAAUAGGAUUUAUAGUUGGCCCUUGUUUGCUGAUAUGGUUUUGCUGUCUUGGAGGAAUUGGCAUAUGCAAUCUCAGUAGAUAUGGAUCGGGAGCUUUUAAGGCGUUUAAUCCUCUAUACAUUUUUUAUUAUUUUGGGAGGAAUCCCUUUCAGGCCUGGCUCUCCCUUGCUGGUUGUCUUUUGUGUGCAACAGGUAAACGUCAGUUUACCUCUAAUCAGUUAGUACCAUUUGAUUUGCUACACAACCUUAUGUUCUUACUGUCAAAGUGCACCUCUUUCUUUUGAUUUCUGUUGUGUACUUUGCUGGUGCGCUUUAACUUUGAGACAAUUUUUAUGAUGUAUUGGAAGGGGAGCCUUGGCACAGCGGUAAAGCUGUUGCCUUGGAAACAGCCUCUUGCAGAAAUGUAGGGAAAGGCUGCGUACAAUAGGCCCAAAGUGGUCGGACCCUUCCCCGGACCCUGCGCAAGCGGGAGCUACAUGCACCCGGCUGCCCUUUUUUAUUUAGAUUGUCUGUUGUCUCACAAUGCAGUCUGUUGGUUCAGAACUUUUUUUUUAAGUGUCUUGGUAAAAAAAAAAGAAACUGAUUUGUUUACCAACUAUACUGCAGGAUCUGAGGCUAUCUUUUCAAAUCUUUGCCACUUUCCUGUACGAUUUGUUCAGGUAUUAUCAUUAGUUUAUGGAAGUGUUACUUCUAUUUUGAACUUUAUGCAGAUGAUGUUCUAUAUAUACCUAACAUUUCUUAUAAAUUCUUAGUCAUUCAGACUCAGUAUUAGUUUUAUAUAAAAUUUCAGAUCUGCUUAAUGUAUCCACUACUCAUCCACUCUUGAUUAUAUUUAUAUCCAGCAUGUUUCUCCUUUGCAGUUUAUGUUUGUUCUUCUUGUUCUUCCUUGCCUUGUCUUGGCCUAUUUAGGACAAGCUGCUUUCCUCAUUGCAAACGAAAAGACACCUGAACAUAUCUUCUUUGCAUCUAUUCCAGGUAAGUUGGAUGUGGCUGAAUAUGCCUGUGUUUUUCAUUUUCUUAUGAAUGAACCCCAUCAGCAGUUCUUCCAUAUGUGAUGUGAAUAUUCUAUUUGCGAUUACUGACUUGUUACACUGUAUUCUCUAUGCAGGGAAUGUUUUCUGGCCUGUUUUCUUGCUUGCUAAUUUAGCUGCACUGAUUGCCAGUAGGACAAUGACGAUUGCUAUAUUCCAAUGCCUAAAGCAGUCCAUAUCACUUGGUUGCUUUCCUCGGCUCAAAAUUGUCCAUACAUCUCGAAAAUUUAUGGCUAAGAUAUACAUUCCAGUCGUAAAUUGGUUUCUGCUGGCUUCCUGUUUGGGCUUUAUUCUGCUCUUCCGAAGCACAUCUGAUGUCGGGAAUGCAUAUGGUAAUAGUAUUGCACUGGAUAUGCUAUUAUGUUUAACUCCUGCUUAUGCAAUAUGCUGUAAUGCUUCAGUAUUCUGCACUCUUACACUGUUCCAUCUUGAACAGCCAUAGCUGAACUUGGGGUGAUGAUAAUGGCCACGGUCUAUGUUACACUGAUAAUGCUUCUAAUAUGGGAAACCAAUAUUAUUAAGGUCGUGUCAUUCCUUAUCACAUUCCUAUCCUUGGAGCUGAUUUUCUUCUCAUCAGCUCUGAGUAGUGUUGGGGAUGGAGGUUGGGCACUGUUGGUCUUUGCAUCUGGUCUUGUCAUGAUUAUGUUCAUCUGGAACUACGGAACCAAACUGAAGUAUGACAGUGAACUCAAACAGAAGCUUUCAAAAGAUCUAAUGAGAAAACUGGGGCCCAACCUUGGCACAAUGAGAGCGCCUGGACUAGGCUUGGUGUACAGUGAGAUAGUGACAGGAGUUCCUGCAAUUUUUGGUCAUUUUCUGACCGCCCUCCCUGCUAUCCACUCAAUAAUCGUAUUCGUGUGCGUCAGGAAUGUGCCAGUGCCUGCGGUUCCCCAAAGUGAAAGGUUUCUUUUCCAGCGUGUUUGUACAAGGGGCUAUCACAUGUUUCGCUGUAUUGCCAGGUAUGUACAUGGACUCUAGUUNNNNNNNNNNNNNNNNNNNNNNNNNNNNNNNNNNNNNNNNNNNNNNNNNNNNNNNNNNNNNNNNNNNNNNNNNNNNNNNNNNNNNNNNNNNNNNNNNNNNNNNNNNNNNNNNNNNNNNNNNNAUAGGUUUUAGCACUACCAAAUGCAGGGUAUGAAUGCGAUUUUCUCCAUUCGUGCCAUUUUCGCCCAUUACUACUGAAAAUAUCACACAGCCAGUUAGUGGUCCUACUAGCUCGAAAUGGUAGGUUCCAUAUUAUGCUCAACUCUCGUACAACCGCAAAUAAUACAGAAAAUGUAUAGACCAAAAUGAAAUAAGAAAUGCCAAAUCAGAAUAGUCUAAUAACUGGUCGGUAAGCGCCUGGUUACCAGAGUCUUGCUCCGUUUAAAAAAAAUGAUUUGCUUUGAUCCAUGAUUAUUCCUACACUAAUACAUUUGUUACCAAUGGGUUUGACAUUACUUCUUUUGCUUGGGAGAAUUACAAAUUUCGGUAGAACGCAAAAGUACUGUGAUUUUAAUGAAUUAGUCGUAUAGUUUGUUGUGCCACCAUAUCUUGUAUCUUCAUGUACAUUGAUGAGCAAUGAUUGAUUGUUUUUUAAUUGUCAUGCAAAGUUGGUGUACAUACCAUUAAGUAUAAACUGUUGGUGAGAUUCUGAGAGCUUGCUUGAGUCUAUGGAAUCAACUCUAAAAUUUUCUUAUGAUGCUAACUUGAUAAUGCACAGAUACGGAUACAAAGACAAGAAACAGGAGCACCAUAACACAUUUGAGCGCCUUCUGAUAGAAGGCCUUGAAAAGUUCAUACAGCGGGAGGCUGUAGAGUUGUCCCUACAGAGUGAAGAUGAUGUCGACUCCGAUGAGGAGCCUUCAACCCCUGGACAGAUAAUCACUGCGCCAAACGGCAGCCUCUACUCACUCGAUGCCCCUCUCCUGGUGGACUUUACACCUUCAGUAGACACGAUUCCUGAAACACCCAGUUGCUCAACGCCUCAAGAUCCCUCGUUGGAUUACACACAGAACCUUGAGCUGGAGCUCGCAUUCAUCAAGCAGGCGAAGGAAUCUGGAGCCGUGUAUCUCAUCGACAACCCCAUUGUCAAAGCCAGGAAGGACUCGUGGUUCUUCAAGAAGUUGAUCAUAAACUAUUUUUUCGCGUUCCUGAGGAACAACUGCCGCAGGGCGAUUGUGUCGAUGAGCAUCCCACACUCGAACCUGCUGCAGGUGCGCUUGACCUCUUAUGUCUGAACGCGGAACCUACUGCUUCAGCACAGUUGUUUUGUUCAUGGCAAUCUACUUAUCCAGUAGAGAUCACACUAACCAUAUAUAAAGGAACAACAAUGGUGAUUGUCGGAAGGCAAAUGCUUAACUUUCCUGGCUUUAUUCAGAAGGUGAUGGCUAGGACAGUAGGAGCCCAUGUCUCCUGUAAGUUUUGUACCGCGUCGAAACGCAGCCGGCAUUGUGGCAGCAGGCAGGCACAUCACACGAUGAUGUAUUUAACCUGUAUAUUUCCCUUGUGCAGCAGAUUGCUGUGUGCUCCUUCGGUUCUGUGGGGCCAGUUUUGUUGUUUGCAAAAUGCAGAGUGCUAGCUGAGAAGGAUCAUUAGGUCAUAUAUAUUACAUAUACAUAUGUACAUUUUUACGGCCAUCGAGCAGUGCUGUUGCUUUAUCCUUACCUUUUCUUAUCUGCACUUAUUGGGGUUUUUAUAGUCUGGCUUCAGUUUCUGUACCCAAAUGCAGCCCUGCAAGGACUGAAUGAAUUUUAUUACUUACUCCCUCCGAUCCAUAUUAAUUGUCAUAGACUUAGCACAAUUUUGGUACAAUUUUGUACUAAAUCUGCGACAAUUAAUGUGGAUCGGGGGGAGUAUGUUUUAGUUUUCGUGUUUUAAAUUAGUGACGAGUGUGUGAAUAUGUGUUUUGUCCUUUCCACUGGCGAUGGUGUCAUCCUUGUGGCGUCUGUAGUUUGUCCUUUCUUCGUGGCACCUUUUUUUAACUUGGAACAUUUCAUUAUUCCAUUAAUCAGUGUGUUGAGCAGAAUCGCUGGCAACAAGAAGGUGGGAGAAGGUAGGGGCAAAGACCUGGCCAUUCGGCUGAAGGUGUCAUGCUCGCUGCAUGUCUCUCUUCCUUGCCCCAAUUUCUCAACCGGUGUCCAACAUUAACUUUUUCUGGUGUCCAAGCCCAAAAUAUAGACUACAUAUAACGAAAACCAAAUUUCUACCAGGUGUCACCGCUGGGACAACAUAGGUCUGCCCUGGGAAAGUAUCUGAUGCACCGAUGCUUGUGGUGCUACUGCUGCACCGGAAGUCGUAGCGUGUUAAUAAAUGUUUCAAAAAAUCUGCAAAAAAUGUAGCACAUUGACACAACAUUGGUCUAUGUUGUUGCAAGAGUUCAAAUCAGAAUUCAAAGCAUUGGAGGAGAUACAAAAAUGACAAUUUUAGCAUCAAUGUGAUAAUGGGCCAAAUUUAAAGCCCAACUUCUGUUGUGUACUAUUCAGUGUGGAUUUUGUGAUUUUUGUACCUUGAGAAAUAUUUCAAAUUUUGAGUUGAAUUUUUGCGACAGCAUAGACCAAUGUUGUGUGAAUGCGCUAAAUUCUUUUCAAAAAAAAAUCAAGCAUUUUUGAACAUGCUACGGGCGUCCGGUGCACCGGUAGCACCACAAGCACCGGUGCACCCGAUACUUUCCCGGUCCGCCCCAACCCGAGGCAAAGGAGUCAUGGGCCUGCGCGGUAGCCAUCCCUGAAGCAUUUUAUUUUUUCGAAGAACCUCUUUGAGAGGGCAAACGGUUCCAGAAUUUCCAUAAGAAGAAUAUAAUUGGUCCAGUUUAUAAGAAAAACCGAACCCAAAAACCUACAUAGUUGAUUCGGUUUAUAAGAAAAAUCGAAUCCAAAAACCUAUCAAAGCUCGGUUAAUUGGAGUGAAACCAGGCGAAAAUCGCCUACACCUAGCUACAGACACAAAACCAGACAAACUAGGGCGGGAGGGCUGCGACAAUUGAACUAACACCACUAAGGAGCACCGUAAACUGCCAAUACCUCGCCGCCAGAGAGUGAGAGGACACCAUCGAAGGGAAGCGGUCUUGGGCCUCCUUGAACCUUAGAGGACGACAAGCCACCAUACUCCGCAGCAUCGCUACUCCAUCUGUGACCGCACCUGAAGCCACCAUCCCGUCUCAUAAUGCUAACAUGGGAACAUGCGACAACCAUGUGGUCAUAAUCCCAACGGAGGGAACGACGUCAAAGAUGCUGCUAUAGUCUGCCCCGGCUAGCCGGGUCAAGCUUUUCACCCGGAGUAAUGGACCCCAGAUGGUAGAAAAAGUGGGAAUGCUUAAGGACGAUGCCACCAAAGAGGGAAUGGCACGAAGGGCAUCGCCGUCAUCAGCAUCGACAAAGUCGGGCACCUUUGUCUGAAGCCACAAACACCGCGGAAGCCGAACAACUUGAAAAACACUUUCCACUUUCUCAGGUGUUGUAGGACUAGGUGACAUAUUUGUUUCAUGUUCAACCAAAUGCUAUGGUUAACCCAAUGCCAUCUCUAAAGUUCCAUAGUGCCCAUGGGACUACAAACGGCGCCAGAUUGAAAUCUGAAUAUCGCUUGCUACAAGCUCCGAAGAAGGCAUUAGAUUCGAUCAGUGACGAUGAAAGGUCCAUAGGUAAAUAGUGGCCUAGUACUGAUUUGUGGGUGAGGUUUUCCAUAGGGUGUAUUUCCAAGAUGAGCAAAGGGUUGAUGUUUGGAUGAUGAUGAUGAUGCAUAUUGGAAGAGUAUUAGAAGGGUCGGUGCAAGCUUGGGCGGUUGGACUCCAUAUAGGCCUCAUCUUGGAUGAAUUUAAGGAUGGCAGUCUGCUUCGCCAUCUUCGCUGCCUGGGCGACCUCGAAUUCCGCCAUGGCGUUCUCCAUGGCAAAGCCUGCGGUCUCUGCUCCUCCGACUCCGCCGCGUCGUCCGCUUCCAGAUCCUCCUCCUCCUCCAUGGGUGGGGGUCCUAAUCCGCUUCCUUUUGCUGCCACGCUUCCUCCUCCUUUUCCUCUGGCUCUGGCGAAUUCGGAGGCAGACCGAUAGUGACACGAGCGGCGCGCCUGGCCCGGAUAUCCUCCUCGAGCUACAAUCGACGUGCCGGCAUCGACAUUGGAUAGGUGGUGAUCCUCUCCCGGGCCAUGGCUAGCGGCUACAGGGCGGAUGGAAGUUGCGGCGCGAGUGGGAAGGAAUGGGGAGGCUAGGGUUUCACUGCCACUGUUCGGCUUAAAUAGAUAGACUUGCUCCCUCGGGCGGCAUGCCGGAGCGACGCCACGCGGCACCAUGAAUGCAUUCACACCGAGAACUGGAGGAGGCGUCCGUCGGACCGACGCCACGCGGCACCAUGAAUUCAUCCACACCGAGAACUGGAGGAAGCGUUCGUCAGACCGCCGGUCUCUGCGUGUGAUGCGUGGGCUCUUGUGAUCAGUCCGGCAUGACGGGCGCGUUCAGGCAUCCUCAUAUCCGCCCUAGAUAUGAACUAGGUAAGAGGAGUGCCUAUCAAUCCAGUUGUUUGGGUCGGAUAUGGGGUGUUGAGUGACGUUUUUUCUGGCAGCCCGUCUGGACAUUUGCGACGGGCAUGAGAUGUUCAGUUGUAGAUGCUCUUAGCACAACUUUUGACCAACGUUGUAGCUCUUAUACAAAGCAUACAUCAUUAAUUAUGAGAUCCACAAAACAGACACUCGCAUGCACAUCAUGCAUGUUCAAUAUCCAAUCGGCGAACUGAAAAGCUGAUACGCAAAUGUUGAGCUCAUUUGCUCACAUCCUCAACCGCGGCGGUGACGUCGUCGGCGACGCCCUGCGCGGCGUCUUUGGUGGCGUCCCACGCCUCCUCCGUCGCCUGCUUGGCCUUCUCGCCGAGGUCCUUGGCUCCCUCCACCGCGCCCUCCACCGCCUCCUGAACCUUGCCCGCCGCGUCGCCCGCCGCCUUCGACACGCUGUCCGCCCCUUCCGAGGCCUUGUCUCCGGCCUCCCCGGCCGCCCCCUUCACGGUCUCGACGGCGUCGUUAGCCUGACGCACGAAUGAACCAAUGAACAGUCAGCAUACGUAACAUCGCAAAGAACAAACACCAGAGUGUGGUAGUAAUAACAUCAAGUGCACGUACGGGAGUCGCCCUAGGAGGGGUUUGCAGGCAGAGGCGGCCGCCGCUGACGGUGUGGGGACGAGCGGCGAGGAAGCACGGCCUGGGAAGAGCCUUGCCGGCGGCGGCGCCGGUGAAGGCGGCGGCGCCCGCGCCUCCUCCGAGCAGCACGGAUGAGGAAGCCAUCGAUCUGGGUCUGGUGGUCGGUGGAGGAGCUGAGAUGGAUGUAUGAGCUACUUUGCACUUGCGGUAGUACGGUGGGAGGACGAGAGGUGCAGUGCCGGUUUUGUAGGCCGGGGGUGGACGGAGGGGGCCACGGGGAUCGCUGCGGGCGCAUGGCGACACGGGGUGGUCGACAGGGUUGUGUGGUGCGGCGGUGCGUGCGUGACUGUCGACCGUUUGUGUGGCGCGCGCGGUAGCCAUGCUCGUGAAGGGUUUGCCGAGAGAAGAAAGAGAAACGAAUCUUAAUCUGCCCAUGCCUGCCGACCUCACGUACCUUUAGGCCUGUUUGGGACGGAUCGAAAAAACCAAAUCCUGGUGUACACGGUUGAAGUUGAAGGUCACAUACAUCCGAGCAAGAGAUAUUAACUUGCCAGAGGUGUCAUCACUCAUCGCCGGUCUCGGUGUGCUCAACUCGAUCGCAGAUUGUAGAUUUUGAAAGCAUAAAACUGCAAAUACGAAUUAGCAAAACCAUUAGUUAUCAACGAGGUUUAACGUACGUAUACGCACUCAAGCAGUGGCGGAGCUUGGCCUCGAAAGCUGGACAGGCCGACAGUAGAAAAUAAUUAUUGGGAUUGUGUUUCAUGGCCGAAAACGAAAUAUGCACUUAAAAAAAUAGCAUGGGCUGGGCGGGGCACGACCCUUUCAGCCUUGCCUUAGCCAACUUACUCAUCAGUGUUUUUUUUUUCAAGUUUUGGUCAAAUUUGAGAUGAAAAUUCAAAGUUAACAGUCAAAUGAAAAUGUUCUAGUAAACCAAGAUAUUUCCAGUUAGUAUUCUGGAAAAGUUUUAGCUACAUUCUUUCCUUGGCCAUUGAGGAGUUUGGACUAUGCUUAUCAAAUUUCUACCAAAUUUGAGGUGCAAAUUCAAUGUUUACUGGAAAAAGGAUUUUUUUUAGUAAAUCAAUCGAAGGUCCUUAGUAUUCUUGAAGAAUCUAAGCUCAUCUAUCCAGAUAUUUAGGGCUUUCAAAUGUUUUUUUAUUUUUAUUUUGUCGUAUUUGAAGUGAAAAUUAAAAGUUCUAAGAGAGACAAAAAAAUAUCUAGUCAGAGUCGUUGUCUUUACUCUUUAGACACUUACAAGCGGGACUCAUGCACACGAUUUAGUGUCAAGCGGCAUUACGACUAUGUUUUUCUAGUGGUUACUCCUAGAAUUAGUUAUGUGUUAAAAUCCCAUAGAGUUCUAAUUAUGUGGUAUGUUUGAAAAAACGAGUUAUAAGUUUAAUAUUUCUUCCAUUAUCUGAACUAUUUGUUGCAUAAUGACUCUUCACAUCAUAUUUGGUUUUUGAUGUUUUACCCAAUUGUUUCAAUUUUGCAACAUAUAUUACUAGAAAUUAGACCAAUAUCAUUGUUGUAGAUUCUUACCCUUCUCAUAAUUGCUCUAACUAGUAAGAUAUAGAGUGUGACAUGAAUAUCUCUAUCCAGGAGUGUGUCGAGAACCGCUAGUUGUUUCACACUCUCUGGGCUCCAACAGUUGGUUACCGUUCUAGUGUAGGGAGAGCUUGGAUGCACGCGGACCUAGCGACUCUCCCUGGUCUUUUACCGGACGGAGAUGGAUCGGGGCCGGAGGUAUUGAGGCCUUUCUUGGCCAAUGUUUUGCAACGAGAUGGCUUUUGUUGUCUUCCAUGAGCCAAUCCUAAGCAUCGAGGGGGUGAUGUCUGUCCUAUUCCCAAUUGGAAAGUAUCUUAUGUCUUAUUUUACCUUUAGCUUCCUUCGUGAUGGAAGAAGACAUCUUGUGGGCUGUAACGAUGUUGUAUGUAAAUUCUCUUGGUUUUCCUCGUGUGUAGUAAGUAUGCUUCAUCUAUAUUUUAAUGGAAAUACAUGAAAAAAAAUUGCACAUGAAAAUUCAGAAAUGUGCAAUUCUUAAAGCCAAUUAUAUCAAUGUUUAGCCAGCAAAAAGUUGUAAAUCAACGAAUUGACAUAGAGUCCAAUACUCUAGGUGAAGGGAUAAAAACCAUAGUGCUAAACUUCAGAUGUGAUGCAAAGCAUAACGAAAUUUAUACGUACAUAUUAUUUGCCGAAUACAACCAUACAACAAGAGGCAAAGCAGCGCCGUCUUUCUCUUAGUUAUUAAAUCUACUUUGGUUAUUUUGAACUAAGAUUAAUGUGGCAAUAAAUGUCUGAGAUAGACGUGUUCGUUCCUAUACUUAACAAUGAACAACAUUGUGAUUCACACUAGAUUUAGUAAAUCAAUCAAUGAUCAUUAGUAUUCUUGAAAAAACUAAGCUCAUUUGUCAAGAUAUUUAAGGCUUUAGAACGUUUUUGAAAAUUUUGGCCAUAUUUGAAGUGAAUAUUUUUAGAGAGACAAAAAAUAUAGUUGAGUUGUUAUCUUUUGACACUUACAUGUGGGGCUCAUGCACUAGAUUUUGUGUGAACCAGCUAGACCUGACGACUCUGUUUUCCUAGUGAUUACUCCUAGAACUGGUUAUGUGUUAAAAUCCUCUAGAGUACUAGAUAUGUAGUAUGUUUGGAAAAAAGAAUUAUAAGUUUAAUAUUUCCUCCAUUAUAUGAACUACUCGUUGCAUAAUGACUCUUUACAUCAUAGUUGUUUCUUGUGUUUUAAUUUUGCAACAUAUAUUAUAGAAAUUAGACCAAUAUCAUUGUUGCAGAUUCUUACCCUUCUCAUAAUUGCUCUAACUAGUCAUGCACAGAGUGAGUACCUCGGAAGUGUGUCAAGAACCACUAGUUGUUUCACACUCUCUGGGCUCCAACAACUGGUUGCAACUCUAGUGUAGGGAGAGAGCUUGGAUGCACGUGGACCUAGAGGCUCUCCCUGGUCGGUUAAUGGAGGGAGACAUAUCGAGGGCAGAUGCAUUGAGGCCUUUCUUGGAUAAUGUUUUACAACGACAGUGCUUUUGUCGCUCUCUCGGGAGCCAAUCCAAAUCAUCAAGGGGGUCAUGUAUGUCCUAUUCCAAAUUGGAAAUUAUCCGACAUCUUAUUACCUUUAGCCCUAACAUCUAGUGUCCCCUAACGAUGUUGUACGUAAAUUCUCAUGGUUUUCCUCAUGUGUAGUUAGUAUGGUUCAUCCAUGUUUUAAUUGAAAUACGUGAAAAAAUUCACACACAAAGACAAAAAUGUUCAAUUAUUAAGGCCAAUUAUAUCAAUGUUUGGCCAACAAAAAGUUGUGCACUAAUAGAAUCAACAAAUUGACAUAUAGCUCAAUACUCUAGGUAAAGGGCUAAAAACAUAGUGCUAAAAAUCAGAUGUGAUACAACACAUCUAAAGAAAAUUCAUACAUAUCAUUUGAUGAAUACAAACAUACAACAAGAGGCAAAACAAUGUCAUCUUUCUAUUAGUUCUUAAAUCUAUUUUGGUUUUUAAGCUAAUAUUAAUGUGUCAUCAAAUGUUCAACAUGGACACAUUAGUUCCUAUAUACUUAAAAGUGAAAAAUACUAUGACUCGACUAGAUUUAUUAAAUCUAUCAAGGGUCCUUACUAUUCUUGAAGAAUAUAAGCUCAAAUUGCUAUAUAUUUAAGGAUUUAGUAUGUUUUUGAAAUAUUUGGCCAUAUUUAAAGUGAAAAUUAAAAAAAUUUAGAGAGACAAAAAAACUAUUCGAGUCAUUGUCUUCAGACUAUUACAUGCGGGACUCAUGCACUAGAUUUUGUGGCAACGGGCUAAACCUUACGACUAAGUUUUUCUAGUGAUUACUCCUAGAAUUAGUUAUGUGUUAAAAUCCCCUAAAGUUCUAGUUAUGUAGUAUGUUUAAAAAAAUGAGUCAUAAGUUUAGUACUUCCUCCAUUUUAUGAACUAUUUGUUGCAAUGCCUCUCUACAUCAUAUUUGGCUCUUGAUGUUUCACCACAUUGUUUUAGUUUUGCAACAUAUAUUAUUAUAAAUUAGACCCAAUAUCAUUGUUGUCGAUUCUUACUCUUCUCAUAAUUGUUCUACCUAUUCACGCAUGGAUUCAGACAUGAAUAUCUCUACCCGGGAGUAUGUUGAGAAACGAUAGCUGUUUCAGACUCUCUGGGCUCCAAUAGUUGGUUACGGUUCUGAUGUAGGGAGAGAGCUUGAAUGCAUGUGGACCUAUUGUCUCCCCCUGACCGGUCAAUGGAGGGAUAUGGAUCGGGGCUAGAGGCAUUGGGGCCUUUCUUGGCCAACGAUUUACAACGACAUGGCUUUAGUCGCUCUCUCACGAGUCAAUCCAAAUCAUUGAGGCAGUGAUGUCUAUCCUACUCCAAAUGGUAAAGUAUCCCACCUCUUAUUUUACUUAGCUUCCGCCUUUAUGGAAGGAGACACAUCUAGUGGGACCUAACGAUGUUGACACAAAUUAUCAUGGUUUUCCCCAUGUGUAGUCGGUAUGGUUCAUCCAUAUUAUAUUUGAAAUAUGUGAAAAAAUUCACCCACAAAAAGCCAGAGAAUGUGCAAUUCUUAAGACCAAUUAUAUAAAUGUUUGGCCAACACAAAGGUUUACACUAAUAGAAUCAAUGAAUUGAGACAUAACUUAAUACUCUAGGUGAAAGGCUAAAAAUCAGAUGUGAUGCAAAGCUUCUAUAAUAAUUUAUACAUAUCAUUUGUCGAAUACAACUAUACCACAAGAGGCAAAUCAGCAUCAUCUUUCUCUUAGUUAUUAAAUCUAUUUUGGGUUUCUAAGCUAAGAUUAAUGUGGCAUUAAAUAUUCAAGAUGGAAGCCUUGGUCCCUAUAUAAUUAACAGUGAGCAACAAUGUGAUGCAGAAGGCAUGUAAUACAAGGUUGUAAUGCAAAAAUAGAGUUACACAAGGAGCUGCAGAGGCCAUUGGACAAUGGUGUAGCAUAAAUACAAAUAAUCACAAACCUUACUUUAUAGUUUAUAGAGCUUACACAAUAUAUAGGAUCAGUAGCAAAUAUGUAGAGAUGACAAAAUGAACUACAAUAUUGAGCACACACUUUUGAACAAUUCACAGGGUCUUGAUCAAUUAUAUAAUAAUAGAUUCCUACUUAUUUAUUUCAAUAGUUUUUACUUUAUUACAAUAACUUGGACCUUUAAUUUACAAUCUCAACUGAUUUUUUCCAUCAUAAUUAGCAUAAGUAACUACAUAAUGCAACAUCAAUAUUAUGGUAAAUGCUUAGCCUUACAUAAUUUUCUAUUGAUAGAAAUAAAUAUUUGAUAAAAAAUAUUGCAGGGGAAUUGUGCGUUCUCCUUAUUAUUUAGUUUGGGAUAUUUCCCCUUUCAAAACAUGCACUUAAUAUCUUAAACCUAAUUCCUUCUAGGGAUAAGCACAACUAAAAAGACAACAUCAUAAUUCUUCGCAAAUUAAUUUUGCCAUAUCGAUGUAUCAUUUUGUAUUUAUAUGUGUUCAUUUUCUUGUAUAUCCAUCAAUAUAGAGGAACACUAGAGCGCAUUUAGAAAUAUCAAUCUAAAUAGAGAUUGAAUGCUUGUUUAUCUCAAGUAUAGAUAAAGUCUAAAGCUCCGGAGUAGAUUAAAUUUCCAUAGGUUGGUUGCAUUUGGAUAAUAUAAAUUGUUAAUUUAUUGGGUUCUUUUAUAAAUAAAUGACCACCAUUCUUCCGGGGAUAUACAACUAGCUUACAACACAUCCAUGCUCCAAGAUUGGACUUUGAACACGAUAAUUAAAAACGGCGCCCAGGCUUAUCUCCGCCCGAUGAACAAUAAAGUGUAAAAAAUAGUAAAAAAAUCAAAACAUAUGAAUUUUUUAGGCAUCCAAGAUGUUCAUGUGUUCUAGGAGCAUACAAAAUUUUGUGGUGUUUGAACAUUUGAGGGCCCUGUACGAAAAAAACAAAAAUUGGCGACGAACAAUGUUCUUUUAGAAGUUUCUCAAACACCUGAAAUAGAUCCUCAGAUGACCAAACACCACAACAAUUUGCAUGCACCUUGCGCAUAUGAGCAUCUGAGAUGCCUAAAAAUUCCAUGUUUUUUUUUACCUUUUUACUAUUUUUCAAAAUUUCUUGUUCACGCGCAGGUGUAGAUGCACGUCAGUGCAGAAUUGUCGAUCUCUUUUGAACUACACUUUUUUUAUAACAUAACAUGUGAAUGUUGAACACAAUGUAUGAUCAUAGUAUGCGAUUUUUGGAUUUUCUUGAUUUCAUCAAUAAUAUGUAUAAAAUUCCCGGCUCAACUUUAAAAUAGUAGUGACUAACAUCACCUUUACCCAUUGUGAGUGGUAUCGCUAGAUAAUCUUUGUGCAUAGUGAACGCGAUUGUUAGUCCUCGAAGCGCAAGAAAACCAAGGUAUCAAUCCACAUAGUCUUGGUUUGUAGCCAAUGAUUAGUACCUACAGACAAUUAAAACACUUCACUUUAUCCCCACCACUUCUAGUAAUUUGUGUCAACCUCACUAGCUUUGCUAAUUACGAGUAUUAAUGUAUUUUGCGGUUGUAAGUACUUAUUGUAAUCAAGUGUAAAUAAACAUACAGAAUAUAAAAUAACAAAAAAAGUUAGUUAUCAAGGUCUUUAUUAUGAGUAUUAAAUAUCAGGAUCCAUAAUUUCACUAGUGGGAUCUCUCCAGAUAAUAUAGAUGUGGUGAAAAAAUUAUAGUUGUUUAUCAAUUAUAUUGCAGUGUUCAUGAUAUGAUCAUAUAUGUCAUGAUUGCAUAAAUAUUACGUCCAUGUAUCCAUAGACAGUUAUCUAACUACAUCUAUUGCUAAUACGUCAUCCUAGACUGCUAUCUGACAUGCAUCUCUAGGCAUUAAGUAGAAAUGACAUAUUGCAUUCAGCAAAGUGACAUAAUUUCAUUAUUAUAUUCUCUUUACCUUCAGUUCAUCACUGAGAAAACUAGUGAACUAUAUUAAUAUCUUUGUGGCAAUAGCACAAUACAAGUAUUUUUUUCCCUUUCUGUCACUGGAUAGAUUACUUGCAAGAUUAAACCCAACUAGCAUACACAACUUUUCCUUGGAUAUCAUUCAUCCAAACAUGGCCUAUGAAAGACUUUGAUCUGAGAACUUAUAUGUCUAUAAAUCAUGCAACAAAGAACUCAAAACAAUCCAAAAGAAAUCCAUACAUAGUAUGAUCAUAGAGUGACAAGCCCACGAGAUCUUUAUAUUUAGAAGCAAGGGAGAGAGGAUGCCAUCUAGUCACUAUUAUUGGCCCAUAAUCCAAGGACUACACACACAUGGACAUGGUGGCGGAAAUAAGGAUGAAGAUAGCCAAGACGAUGAAUUCUCCCUCCAACAGUGUCCCAGAAAAGGUCUCCAAAUUGGAUUUGUCACAUCCCAAGUUUUUCCCAAACUUGGAAUGUUAAUAAAUAAAUUUGAGGGAAUUAAAAAAAUCAAAAUUGAUUGCGAUUGCUUGAUAUUAGCUACUUUUGACUAGGAGGUGCUUGAAUUGAUUGAAAAUGUGGCUCAAAUAGAAAUUUGGAGUUAUUAAGAACCCUAAAUUGUCAUUUAGGGAAUAUUUAUAAGACAAAAAAUGUUGAAAUGUUGGGUUGGAAAAUAAAUUCCAUUAAUCCCUAAUAAUGUUGAAAUGCUAAAGUUAAAAGUGGGAAUUAAAUUGAACCCUAAAAUAUUUAGGUAACAACUUAAUAUCCCCACAUAGGGUGGCAAUUCCAAUGUUUUAAUUUGGCUGGAAAAAAUUAAGUCCCAAAUAACUUUUUGUGCCUCUAUUAUUUUCUGCCAAAAUAAUUUAAGUGAAUUUGAUUUUUGAAUGAAUUCAAAACAUCACUAAGAAGUUAUUUCAAGAAGGGCUACACAUUUUAUUUGGGUAGAAAUUGAUUUCCAUAAGUCCUAAAUAUUGGUUUGACUCUCUAUUAGUUUUCCAAAUUGGAUUUAGAGCUAGUUUGGGUUUAAACCAAAUUCAAAAUUCAAAGGGAAAUUUGAAAACAGCAAAAAGGGAAGAGAAUGAAAUAAAAAUAAAAAAUUCUAGCCUACCUAACAUAAUAGCAGACCGGCAACAAGCCCAACCUAGCAAGCCAGCUCAGCCCAGAAGCGCGCGCUGCCCAGCAACUUAAGUCGUUGAAGUGGUAAGCAUCAUUUUAACAUCACCGCGCGAUCUUCAUCCGACGAACAUUAGUGGAACCGCAGCUCUCUCUCUCUCUCUCUCUCACUCACUCACUCACUCUCACACACACACAGCCACGUGGGCCCCACACAUCAUAACGCAGGUGUCGUCAACCUCCCGCCUGCACGACAUGCGCCCACAACCCGUGCAUGUCCAUGUCCAUGAGCUCCACUUCUUGCACCUCCACUACGCGCCCAAGCCUGAACAUGCCCAAGAACUAGCCCCUACUUCCCUGUGUCUUUUGCCCCACUUCACCCCGGAUAUUGCAGUGAGGCUACUCCACUACGACCCCAUCCCCUCUGUCUCUGCCAGAGCCACCACCUACCAAAUUCUGGUGAGUCCAAGCCACCCAGGCCACGCCGUCGCCACCAUCAAUGUGGAGUAGGAUAGCACCAACUAUCUAAACCACAUGGAAAUCUCCAUGGAGCACCCAAGUGAUUGCAUCACUCUAAAUCUACUCUUACUUUACUUCUGUGAAAUCUUUACUUUCCACUACCUAUACUCCUCUCUAACUCUACUCUUUACUUUCCCCUACCUAUACUCCCGUAGACUUGUAUGUGUAGGGUGCUCCAUAUUCUACCAUAGAAAAGCUUAAAAUUGCCAGGAGAUUCCCCCUUUAGACAUACACAAUUGAUCCUAAAACACCCAAAUCUCCACGCCCGCAAGAACUCGCCGAGUCCCUCCCUCGACAUUGUAGUUCUCUGUUCUCCACAAGGAAAUAGUAAGGUGGGAAGUAGGGCUCUUACACACAUUAGGAGCCUGAACCUGAAUAUAUCGUGUGCCCUAGCGUUCUGUGCCUAAGUCCCCUAGUUUCCUAGUUUCCUCACGUGACGUUUCAUCGAGUACAAAUUUCACGUACUCCCCUCUACCGCUGUUAGGAUCGACGUAAAAUCUUUCAACAAUACAUAUAUGCAUUCUUACAAGGUAAAAUGAAGUGUAACAGGUGCAUUUCGCGGGCGAGCCUUCCCGGUCCCACACCCGAACCGUCAACCACUGACUCACCUUCUCCUGAGACGUUGCGGCAAGGCAUGCCAUCUCCGUCUACGGCUCGUUCCCGGCCAAGGCCUUGCCCGCGCCCCCGGGCUUCGCUCCACUCGCCCCGGCUCCGUCGUCUUUUGCCUUGGUGCUACACCUCGUCUCCUCCUUCCUUCUUCCACGAAUCGACCGACUCGAAUUCGAAAUUCAAGCAACUCACGCAUAGCUAUUAUGUAAACCUUUUAGCAUCAUUUUCUUUAUUGCGUUUGACAUUAACAGGGCGGUAAUCCUGUAUGUCAGAAAAUAAAUGCAGCUAUUUUAUCUCUUCUUGUACCAAAGUACGUAUAUGCAUUCUUACAACCCUUCUUACAAUGGAAAAUGAAUUGAGAGAUACAUAUCGGACUAGUCAACGCAUUGUUAGCUUAGUUAGCUUCCUUUUUGGCCGCGUCCGCGACCUUGUCCGUGAUGCCCUGUGCGGCGUCCUUGGCGCCGUCCCACGCCUCCUCCGUCGCCUUCUUCGCCUGCUCGCCGAAGUCCUUGGCCUUCUCGUCCACCUCGCUCGCGCCUUUGCCGGCUUCCUCCGCGGCCUUCUCGGUGUUGCCCGAGACGGCCUCAGCCGCCUCCGCCACGCCCUUCUUCAACUCGUCGGCCACCCCCUUCACGCCGUCGAUGGCCUUGUCGGUAGCAUCCGCAGCGUCGUUGUACGCCUGUCCCAUGCACCCAUAUAUCUCGGUCAGCAUAUCUCAGAGGACGACUAACCAGCAGCGUACGUAAAAAUAAUCGGCAUGAGGCCAUGAUCGAACGGUACUGCUCGCGGCACACGUACCGGAGUCGCCCUUGGAGCGUUCUGCAGGCAGAGGCGGCCGCCGCUCACGGUGCGCGGGCGAGCGGCGAGGAAGCAAGGCCGGGGAAGGGCCUUGCCUGCCGGGGUGCCGGUGAGCGCGGCCGUGGCCGAGGCUCCGAGAAGCACGGAAGAAGAAGCCAUUGGUCGAUAGAAAAACUGCUGAUGGAUGGGUGGGUAGGGUAGGGUAGGUUGUGUGAGCUUCACUUGCAAUGCAAUGGGAGGACGAGAGGUGCAUCGUCGUUUUUAUAGGCCGGACGCGGAGGGGCGAAGGGUGAGCUGGGGGGUGACACGUCGGGGGCCGAUCGCUCCGGCGCAUGGCGACAAUCGACGGUCGACAAGGUUCUGUGGUGGAGCAGUGCGCGGAGAGUUGUCGACAAGGUUUAUGUGGUAAUGUACGGUCGAAUUUCCUAUACCAAUAAAAGAAAAGAAAUGGGUAGCUGCUUACCCCACCAGCGUCUCGUACGAAGGCACGUAUACCUACAUGACCUGUUUGGAGCGGAUCGAAGAAACAAAUCCUACUGUCCACGUUUGAAGGUUACGUACAACCAAGGUUUUGUCAGGAGCUCUUUUAAGAUGCUUCAACUUAUGAUAGCAGAAGAUAUUUGAUACCGUCCGUCGAUUAAUCAAGGGUAAGUUUAGCCAUAUUUAUAUCCCAUCUGUAGAAAGUAUUAAUUGGAAAGUGAUUGAAUGAACAAUAAUGACAUCACCGAUACAUGGUCGGGAGCAUGGUUAAUAGCUAUAUAAUGUUGCCAUGUCAUUUAUAUUUAAGUUUAUAGUCAGCAAAUAUAAUAAUUAGAUAUAGAUAUGUACUCCCUUCAUCUGAAAAUAUUUGUCGGAAAAUGAAUGUAUUUAGACGUAUUUUAGUUCUACAUACAUCCAUUUUUAUCCGUUUCUCCGACAAGUAUUCCUAGAAGGAGGGAGUAUUACUUUGUUGAUACAUGAGUCACCUCACUCUCUCACAAAGCCACUAGGGCACAUGCUGCAACUGGUUAUUAAUCUAUAGCCUGCUUCUAUUCUCUUUUAUCUUCUCUCUCUUUCAACUCAUUAAAAAUAUUAUAUUGAAAGUCUUACAUCUCGCUUACAUCACUUAUUAUAUUUGCUCUCAAGGAGAGCCUUCAAAAGAUGUCAGCUGCUAUGAUGGAUGAGAAGGGGCCUCCCCCAAUGCAUCGUUUUUUAGCAUGUUAUAUCAUAGAAAAUAUAAAAGUUUAAGAGACAACUAGCCGGUCAAUUUAGGGGUUGUAUUUGGGUCUCAUGCAUAUGAUACUAGUGUAUGAUACUACCUCCCUAAUGCAUAGUAUCAUAUAUUAGUAUCACGUGGUACUUUAUUUAUUACCAUGCAUGACACAUAGUAGUAUAGGAUUUAUUAUGAUACAGUAUCUUUAUAUGAUACUGAACCCUCUUUUUUUUGUUUAAUUCUAUGACACCUCAUCAAAAUUAUCUAGUUGGCAUGCAUGAUACCAGCUAUGAUAUUACAUGUGAUUGAGUUAGUAAAUUUAUUUGCCCAUGGCUACAUGCAAGGGUUGUAUGUUAGCUACUAGGGCCAUCCCUCUAAGCUACUACAUCCCUAUCUUUUCAUUAAAUACUAAGGCACAUCAGCAAAAUACCUAUAAAACAUUCCUAAGAAAUCUGCAUUGGGAGAGUUAUGUUCUAAACCGACGUCACUAUUAGGAUUCGACAUGGCCAACCAUCACAACCCUUCACUAAUGACGGUUCCAUGUUCCAAAUGAAUAUUUGUUUAAUUAUAGCAUGCUAAUGCAUCAACAGUCACAAACUAAUUUAUUCCUAAUAGAGUGAACCCUCACUUUAUCUGAUAAGAUGAACACUAUGGAAGAGGUUGCUCCCGAGCUCUCCAAUCAAAAAGGGAAGAAUAAGGAUGAACCCUCACCUCCUUGCCUCUGGCUUGUUAAUCCAACGAGAGAUAUAUAAGUUGCAUAUUUUUUUCUACCAUGCACGCCUCUAAGCUUUCUACCCCAUCAAUCUCACAAUCAACAUGGGCUAAACCACCUGCCUACACUACUCGUGUUUGGUUAGCACUGCCACGCACAACCCCACCCCACCCGAGUUGUCGCAUAUUUCAUGUUGUUGAUGUCCCCAACCAUCCCUCUAAAAUCUACAAACCCUCUCACCAUCUUCGGUGCAACUCCCUUUCCACCUCCGAGUGCGCGCCGCACCCCUCACAUGUAUUGUCAACCUAUUGCCCCGCCUUCGCCAAGGAUGUCGGGUUGUCCCCGUAUUCGAGACUAUCUUGGAUCAGCCUUGCCAGGGACGCUGCAGCCAGCCAUGUCGUCCAUGUAUCGACCUUGAUGCAGCACCUCUCUUUCUUCUUCCUUCUUCGACGAAAUCAGCUGGUGCAAAUUGGGAAUUCAUACAUCUCACGCAAACAACAAAAAUAAAUGGAAAAGUGUGAAAAUGUAAUUGCACCAAAAAUAUGCAUUUGUAAUGAAUAUAAAACAACAUAAAAACAAGUGAUACGAGAAAGUGACUGAAACUUUCCAUAAAGGGACUGAAACACCAUAAAUGGAAAAAGGGUGAAAUUGUAAUUACACCCACGUCGAUCGCGAUAGCUCCCGAAGCAGAGGAAAAUACGGAUGCACUUAAGAGAAUUGGUGGCGGCUGACUUUGCUCGCCUGGCUGCAAGCCAGACUAUGUGUUCCCUCCCUCUUUGAAGGCAAAAAGAUGGGGGAUCCCUGGAUUUGUUGUUUCUAGUGUGUAUGAAGUAAUUUAGGGAUUUAAUUGGCAGUCCUAUGGUGGCAAAGACCACGCCAUGGAGAUUAUGUGUUGUAGAUCCCUCCCUACCAUACGACGCUCCUCUAGACAACGUGAGUGAGAUGGCAACCUCGUGUCCUUGAUGAUUCGUUGCAUCGUUGAGUUUAGAGUUGGUCGUCGGUAUCGUUGCAUUGAGGAGGUGGUGACAAUAGGCUUCCCUUUUGGUUCUUCGUGUCCACCUCCUACCCGGUCAGUUGUCGACCAUUUUAGUGAUUUUGUGGGGGCUUGUGUCUCCUAAUUUUUAUAUUAGGAUCUAUGGAGUUUUGCGGCGGCUGUUAUCAUCUGAUAUAGCGGUGUCUUAUUCACUGAGUCAUUCGUUCUUCUAGAUCGAUGUUGACAUUGUUUCAUGUCAUAGUUCACUUCCCAAUUGCAUGUGUGGAUAGGAAUCGUUCUGACGAUGGUGCAUACCUCAAACCAUGACAACAAUCAGCAUGUCAUCGGUGCCAGUCGGAGAAGAAGGAGGAAUCCCCAAGGAUCGAGAUGCAAUUUACAUUUCUAUUUGUUUUUCCACGAGAUGUUGGAUCUAAUGUUUUAGCAUUUCCGUAAUGAAAAAUUGAAUAUGUGGUAAUACACAAUAAGAUUCUAGCUUCAUAAGAAUAAGAUUCCAUGUCUCUCAAGAAUAUGAGUGUAAGAUUCCUUGAUACAAAAAUUAACUUUGGAGAUGUUGUCACAUUCAGUCUUUGGAUGCAUUUUCACAUUAUGUCUGCAGUCCAGCAAUGUUAAUAUGUAAUACUGGAGAUGGUUGCAGUCGGUAAUUUUACUACUCAGAAAACAUAUGAAUCGGUUUUGCUCCUCAAACCGCCUAGAAUACUUAAGAAUUUGAGCAUUGCUAUUUUCAAGUACGAACAAUUGUUGCUUUGCUUGCAACUUAAGACUGAUUUUAGGUAAAUAUUACCUAUUACAACUCACAUAUCAAAAUAGGCACAUUUAACUUCCAUUUCUAUUAUUACUUUGAUAUUCAGGAAGCCCUUCAAGACUGAAGUAGACGAGAAGCCCUUUGGAGCUGAAGUAAACAAGUAGAAUGCGAGCAACUUUACAUGCUUAGUUUAUGUGAAAUUUAUGAUACUUGGUGUAUUGGUGAUCUCACAGUGUAAAUCAAUAGGAUUUAGCAAUCCUAUUCUUAUGGUCGCAUAGGGUACGCUAACCUAGGACCAGACCAAUUUAGGUGUUUGUCCAAUUACUGGUUACUAAUGUGGGGCUUUCCCUCUGUUUUCUAUUUUUCGGGAGCCGAGCUGAAAAGAUGAAGUUACCCUAAAGAAAAUUUAGCUUUUCCUUUCCUUGCAAUGGGCCUGGCUCAGGAGGAACAUGUCAAAUAAGCUGGCAAACAAACCGUGAUAACCUUGAGAGAACCCACUUUUAUUUUCUAAAUAAAAUUGUACCCAUGGUAAGGAGAAAAUAAUCAAUAGCGAGGAACUCCACGUUUACCAUCACUAGCUAAUUGAUCAUGUGUUGCAAUGAGGACAUACAUAUUCUAGUGGUUCAACACCAAUUGUGUCCGACAUAUACGUCACACCCACCAUAUUCCAGAUUUUUGUAAGAUUUGAUUUUAUUUGAGUAUGAGUACAGGAAGCCAAUGAAAUUUUGAUUUAGUGGAGGUUUCGGGAAGAUUUUUAUUUGAUCUGCAUAUGGGUAGAGUAAGUCAAGGAAACUUUUGAUUUAGUUGAAAUUUUGAUAAAAAAAUAUAUUUAUUUGAUUCAAUUAAUGCAGGACAUGGUUUUUGCUAAGAUUUCACAGAGGUAAUGAAGAACAUGGUUUCCAAUACGACAUGAAAAAAACACCAAAUUAGCUUAGAUAAAAGGAACAUAUUACAAUUCAGCUAUUGGCAGCAUAGCCCCUGUGCGCCAAUAAUGUUUUUUUUGCAAAUGCCAAAAAAAUAGAUAGGUUCAUUGUCACACUCAAUAACGACCUGCAAAUUUUUAGGGGCCAUGCUAAGCAUUUUGACCUGUGCAAAAAAAAAAAACAAGUCAAGCGUCAAAUGUUACACUUAAUUUUAUUUUAUUCACUGACAAACCACUGCUUCACACGAAUAUUAUCAAGCACACUUGUUACACUAACAAAAUCGUCUACACACAAAAAAAAACAGAUUUUUUUUAUUUUCUCUUUGGUUUAAAUGUAUUGUUCAUCCAAGAGCAUAUACCCCAGAGCCAAAACGGCCAGCCUAGAGCAUAAACUCUCCUUUAGAAAUAGAGAAGAAAAUAAUAGUGAAACCUGAUGUACAUCAUGCACACGGGUGAAGUUUGUUUUAAACCUUGAGUUUGUAGAGCACGACUUAAACAAACCCUCACAUCUAAAUCCCUGAAAUCUAUACCCCAUACUCAUCAAUCCCAAUCAAUUUAGACCCUAGACGUGUUUGGUGCGCCGGAAAGAAGAUGAUCCUGGCCAGGAUCAAUCGCUAGUCUCACUGCCUACUUUGGCCCAGCUGUUCCAGCCAUCGUCUAUCUCAAUUCUCUUCCUCUCGUUGCAGCCUUGGCCAGCUUGGUGAGCAGCGCUCCACCCAAUGCAGAUGAUGCAUGCAAGUAGCAGCACAAUCAUCCACACGCACGCACGCAAGUAGCAGCGACACAUACGCUACCGCAGCAGCAGCACGAGCGCGCCGGACACCGAGAAGACGACGACGAGUACUGCAAGGAAUAAAAAGAGAUGGAAUUUUGUGAACUGGGUCUCACCGGAGAGGGUAAAUCGACGCGGCAGAACUCUCACCAGAGAUGAAGAAGAAUGCUCCACCAUGGAUAAAACGUCGAUUCCACUAAUUUUGGUCAAACGCCAAGCAAAUUGCUCGUGUCAGUACUCAGUAGCCUCCCCUCGUCUCCUGUGACCGCGUGGGCGCCAAUUGCAGGUUUAAUUGGCCGCCGGUGAAAUCACUUCGAGUCCCUCCACUGAUGUCGCUCUGCUCCGCCGUCGCGGUCUUUCCAAUCCCCUCCCCUUGUCCAUGUCGAGAACUUCUGUUGAACCGCUCGUUCGAAGACCAGUGGCAAGAUCCCUCGAGAGCUCUCGGCCUGCGCUCUGGUGAAGAGGGGAACUAAUCCGAUGGCAACGGCAGGGCGGGUGGAGGUCGUGCUCCUAUCGCUCUCGGCGGUGGCGGCCAAGGCGGAGCCCCGUCGUGCGGCAGAGGUGAUGCAGCUGGACCGCCCUGGGGGCGGCCGGCGGCGGACCACAAUGGCAAUGGGAUCUGUGGCUGGACGCAGAGGUCCGGGACAAGCAACGCUGGCAGGAGACAAAAACCCCACCCAACGCGAGGACAGCUGCACAUGAGAUGGAUUCCAGAAGAGAAAGACAGAGAGGAAGAAAAGAGGUCGAGGAAGAAGAAGGACGCGACAUGUAGGCCCGUGCGGUCAAUGACAGAAACGAGUGAUCCCAGGGAAAAUUUUCUUCCAAACAGAUCUAGAGUUGGGUUAGGGUUACAAUUGACCGGGAUCGAUAAAAUAGAGUAUAGACUUCAAGGAUUUAGACAUUGGGGUUUGUUUGCGUCGCGCUCUACAAUCUGAGAGCAUCUUCAAUAGCCGCUCAAUGUGUGGCGCCCAAAAAACGGGUUUACAGCGCGCGCGACCGGGCACACUAAAUAUGCUGCACGCGAUGCCUUUUUGAUGAGCGCGCUGCAUUAGUUAUAGCACACGCGUUUUUUGUGCGGUCGCUGGAGACUCCAAACCAAGUCCGCGCGCGUUAAAAGCAGUUUUUAUACCGCGCGUCGCUUAUAUAGCGCUUCUGUUGGAGAUGCUUUCAAGGUUCAAAACAGACUUCAUUUCAUGCACACCAAAAAGGUAGAAGAAGUGACUUCCAGUCUGUUGCCUUUUUUUGCGCGUGAAAAGAAAAAGUAACGAACUGGAAUUCACUUCUCAUACUUUUUUUUUGCAGAGUGUACACCAUGUUUUAUUAUUAUUUUCUUUUGUAUAAUUAUGCUAUCCGCAGAAAGAAGGUACGAGAAAUGAAUUCCAGUUCGUUACUUCUUUUCAGUUCUCGUGCCUUUUCUUCUCUCUGAGCGUCCAUAGUUUGUUUUUGUUUGUCUCUCUCAUUUUAUUUUAUUUUCUUUCUUCACCUUUUUGUGUGGUUACCAUCGGGUUUUGAUUUUCUUCUGGUUUAGCAUUUGAUUUGUAUUUUUUGUGAGGGAUUUCAAUUUUUCUCUCACUUUUCUUUCCAUUUACUCACGGAAUAAGUUGCUCAAACUGCUUUGCACUAAAAAGAAUAACGUUUGUGAUCAUUUCCUUAAUACAAUAUUUUUCAGUUUGUGAAUGUUUCUAAAAUUAUUUAACAUUUUCAGAUCAUGGUUUCUUUUUAUAAAUUGUGAGCAAUUUUUGGAAUUUCUAAACAUUCCUUUCAAACCAUAUAUUUUUAAAUUAUGAAGAAAAAAACUAAUGAAAACAAGUUAAAAAUCAUGGAGCAUACUUUUUUUUGUGAGUAUAAACAUCAAAAAAAUUCUGAACAUUAGUUUUCAAUGUAUAAAUAUUUGUAGAAAUGUGCGUGUAACUUCAAAAAUGGGAAGACGGAAACCAAGAAAGCGGAAAAUAAAAAACUCCACUGGAAUCCUAUGUAUACUUAAAUAAUGGACCCUCACUAGUCACUACCUCUAAUUAUGUCAACAUGCAGCCUUCCACCCCAUCAUAAAUAUCUACUAAGAGCAACUUUAGCAGACCCCGCAUCCGGCGCAAAUCCGCAUAAUUUUGGUGAUUAUACGGGCUCGGCUCAUUUUUUUGGCCAGACCAGAGCCCGCAUCGGUGUCCGGCACGUAAAUUUUUUUGCCGCAGCCCGCAAACGCAACCCCCGAGCCACUAUAACUACGGGUUUGCAGGGCAGUGCGGGUCGAAACCCUAUCCUCCCGCCGUCGUGUUCCCCUCCAAUUCCCCACCGCGCCGCUCGAUUUCUCGCCGCCGGCAAGCCUUGAACCACCACGGCCGACUCGGGGGAUGAGGCGGAGUGUCUCCGCCGUGCCAGAUCUGACGCCGCACGCAAGCGGGGGCGCGUCGGUGGCUCAACCAGGGUGCCCAGCCGCCGCCGGCAUUCAACCGGCGCGAGCUCGACGAGUUCGAGCUCGAGCGCGCCCGUCGCCGCCGCGCCUCCUCCGGCAACUGGUUCGUGGGGAGCUCAUCCGGCCACGGGUCCGCGGGGUGCUCAUCCGCGGGCGCAUCGAGCUCGCGGCUCGUUCUGGUGAAGAGGGAGCCGGAGGAGGCCGUGCCCAAUGCGCCGCCGCGCCGAGGCGUCAUCGUACCCGAGGACUACCUCCCACCGGGGCAGGAGGAGCUCCUCGAGCGCGUCGUCCUCAAGCGGUCAACGAGGGAUCAGGAGGAGAUGGAAGAGCGCAUCUGGCGCGAGUUCGAGUACGAGUGGCUCUUCCUCGAGACGGGCCUCACGGCAUCGCAGGCGCACGCAUCGAAGGAGGCCGACCUGCGCGUGAUGAAGGAGGAGCAGGCGAAGCUCUUUGUCGACCUCGACUCUGACUCCUCCGACUCCGACUGAUCGCUGCCGGUGGGCAGCUACCCUAGGAGGAGCUCUGGUGAGCUCAAUUUUGUUGCAGUGGUGCGGUAGCGUAGGCCUUGUCUAGCAUAUCUAACCUUUAUGUAUGUAUGUAGCGUGUAUGAACUUAUUAUGCGAAGAAGAACCAUCUAUGCGAGCGAGCUCCGGCGAGUUGUUGCUUCAACCCAUGCAAACUAGCAAACUACAUGGAAGAAUAUCCCGUGAUAGCACACCUUAAACGCCUCCAUGAUACGAUUUCAAAAAAAUAAGUUUAAGUGUUACAAAAAAUCCGAAAUUUUAUAAGGAAUGUAUCUGCAACCCCUAAAAAUUUCAGCUUUUAAGUUUGAAAUGCACAAUGAGAAAUUAGAAAAAUAAAUCCAGAUGUGAAGUAUCAGUUUUGUAUGUCUUUUUUGGCACUAUCCACACUAGAUAUGUUAUUUUUAUUUCUCAAUGUGUAUUUCGAAUUCGGAUAUGAUUUUUUAGGGGUUGUAGUCAUGUACGUUGCGAACACUCAAAAAAAUAUUUAGAUCUUUUUGAAACAUAUAAAAUUAAUUUUUCAAAGUUGGUAUUAUAAGAACAUUUAAGGUGUGGUUAUCACCUGAUAGUUUGUGGUUUGUUCUCACACAAAUAUAAAUAUGAAACUUGUCUACCUUAAAAAAUAGUAGUUUUUAUUUUGAUUAUUUUUUCAUACAUAAUUUAUCUGAGAUUAAUCCUUAAAUUCUUGCCGCAACGGGGAAAUCAUCUUAAUCAUCUAGAUUUUUUUGAGACAAGGGAAAUCAUCUAGAUAGAAAUGAACACUUUUUUUUAGACAAGGGAAAUCAUCUGAUAGAAAAGAACACGGUAAGAACGCUCGCUAAGCAACAGCACCAUACGAACUGGGCUGCCGGCCCACUGACAUUUUGAAGAAACGUAAUAUGUCUGUCCAAGACGCGUGCCCUCUUUGUGGGUGUCAGGACUCAUGGCGACAUGCCCUUAUUUCAUGCACCAUGUCAAGGUGUAUUUGGGCUCUGUCGGACGAUGACUUGGUCGCGCAGAUGACAUGUAAUAUGGAGCCCAAUGCCAGGUUGUGGCCGUUCGAGUUGAGCGACUCAAUGGAACACACAAGCUUCACGAGGAUGGCUGUCACGCUAUGGUCCAUAUGGCAUGCUAGGCGAAAAACAAUCUAUAAAUCCGUCUUUCAGAGUCCACAACAGACUACAUCUUUUGUUGACAAUUUUCUCUCAGAUUUGGGGCAGUCGUUGGUGAAACAGGCAGUAGAGGCCCAACUGCUACGACUACAGCACAGCCUCAGCGCUGGCUUCCGCCUCCAGCUGGAAGUGUGAAAAUCAAUGUAGACAGACCAAUCGCUAGAAGGCGUAAUUGGGGAGCAGAGGCUGCGAUUUGUAGGGACCAAACAGGCUUAUACCUAGGGUCCUCGGCAAUGUUUAUUUAAGGAACCAAUGACCCUCAAAUCCUGAAGACAUAUGCGUGUCCGGAAGCACUCGCACUAGCAGAUGACCUAGCUGUGAGAGCUAUAUAUGUCGCGUCCAAUUGCCAAGGUGUGGUGGAUGACAUAAACAGGGGACUGGAGGACCAAAUACAGCGAUCAUACAUGAGACCAUUGUAAUAGUAUUAUUUCAUGUUCUUUUAUUCAUGAGCAUAGAAACUUUAAUUUUUUAAAAGCUCAUAAUCUCAUCAAGUUUGCUUAUAGCCUAUAGCCUAGAGAUAGACGUAGGUAGACAUAUGUAGUUGGAUAAUCCAAUGACCCAAACCUUAUACCUAUGACCUACACUUUAAAUGAAUAAAGCUGGCGAGAAUUCUUAAAAAAAAAUCUCGAUCAGAGCUGGCAUAUGCUAAACAUGAAUACCAAUUGAGGCAUAUGCCAAACAUGAAUAUCACCUGAAGCUACCGGCCAGUCCUGAGUGAAGAAGACAUCGCAAGCACGAUCUUCUUCUAUAAAAUCAUCACCCCGCAAUAAAACAACAAAACUUGAAGUCAUUUCACGUUCCCUUCUAACUUACCUACUGCUGGAAAUAUGACUAAAUUACUAUAAAAUUUAAUCUGAAUAAAUAGAAAAUAAAUCAUGACAACAAUUGCAGAGAUUAAGCUAAUCAUGCGAACUAACAUAAUAGAUGAGUAUAUCACAUCUAGACCAUAUAUUAAAAACAUGAAUUCUAUCACGAUUUUAAACAAGAAGGAUAGAAUCACAUACGGUGUAGCGGAAAUAGCACCGCCUGCGUUGAUGUUGUCUCCCAUGUCGUCGAGGAUGGGAUUACCAAGGUCGGAGAAAAAGUUGUCGUUCGCGAAGUCGUCGCUGCCAGCAAUCGCGCAGGUGCGCUCCCCCAAAACCUGAUCAUCCCUCUCCCGUACAGGAUUACAGGCGGGGUUCCGGAGGCUUACUGUCCCUUCUUCCGGUGCACGCCGAAAAAAAGGAUGAAGAAGGUUUGCUUGACGACGCAAUGAUCUGAAACGAUGGUGCAAAACCAUAUAAAACGGCGACGGCUAAAGCAGACGUCUAACUGACUAUAUAAUGCGGGUCAGGUUGUGAGAGUAGUAAACCCCACGUCCGAGCGUCGUGACGAGGCGUGGCAAGGCAAGCGAUGAGAACGUCUCAUCUUCGUACAAGUUGUAGAAGAGUUCUCCUUAAGGUGCAAGUCUUUCUUAACUUCCGUAGCACUAAACUCUAGUCUUUCUUAACUUCCGUAGCACUAAACUCUAGUCUUACUCACUCCACGCAUGAAUAGACAAAUUAAUUGGGCUUUGAAACAAAGGCCUAUUAGCAAAAUUCCAACAACUACUAACACGGACAUGCAAACGAUGAUAUUCCUCUGUCAAUAAAAAAACUGAAGCCAUGAUUUUUCUGUCUGUCAAUAAAAAAACUGAAGAUUUUGUCGAUGAGAGAUAAAACUGAAGAUCUUUGCCGCUGAGAGAUAAAACUGAAGAUCAAUGGCAGUAUCGCAGAGUUCCAAAGACAGACGACUAGUGGUUCAACUAGUAUUGGACAUCCUCCAUCAGAGACGGUACACAUUCUCCAUCGGAAAAAAAAAAGAGACAGCACAUAUUGCAGAGCUCAAAAGAAAUUUCUUGUUUUUUCUACACGAUUGCUCCAAUAUUUUCAUCUCAGGGGAGGCAUCGGCGCAUCUGUUUGCCAAAGCAUUAUUCAACAUGUAAACCGAAGAGGCUGAAAACUAAAAUUCAACUCGAAACAGAGGCCACUAGACGCGUGGAGAUGUCCAGCCGGACAGCCAUCUUCGUCUAC
Molecule: long non-coding RNA, 62109 nt
Filed under: Triticum aestivum (bread wheat)
Lineage: Eukaryota; Viridiplantae; Streptophyta; Magnoliopsida; Poales; Poaceae
Description: long non-coding RNA (TAES_LNC021258)
Rfam family: MIR1120/MIR1122 microRNA precursor family (bases 51464-51587)
Source: RNAcentral